Molecule: long non-coding RNA, 60500 nt
Filed under: Triticum aestivum (bread wheat)
Lineage: Eukaryota; Viridiplantae; Streptophyta; Magnoliopsida; Poales; Poaceae
Description: long non-coding RNA (TAES_LNC014023)
Source: RNAcentral
GGCCACCGCCGGGACAUACGUCACCGACACGCUGACCUUGUCGCCCACCAUCGCGGUCAAGGGCUUCCGGUUCGGGUGCAGCCACGCCGUGAGGGGCACCUUCAGUGACCAGACCGCCGGCGUCCUGGCCCUCGGCGGUGGCGCUGGGUCCCUCCUUGCGCAGACCGCGGAGACCUUCGGCAACGCCUUCUCCUACUGCGUCCCGCACCCGAGCUCCGAUGGAUUCCUCUCGCUGGGCGGGCCGGUGGGGAACUCGUCGCAGUUCACGAGCACGCCUCUGAUCAAGAACCAACACGCUCCGACGUUCUACAUCGUCCGCCUGGAGGCAAUCACCGUGGCCGGGAGGCGGCUCGACGUGCCGCCGGCUACGUUCGCCGGUGGUGCGGUGAUGGACUCAGGGGCGGUCGUCACGCAGCUGCCACCGUCGGCAUACGCAGCGCUGCGGGCAGCGUUCAGGAGCGCCAUGACGGCGUAUGGCCCGCUUGCGGAUCCCGUACGCAACCUUGACACGUGCUAUGACUUGACCCGCUUCCCCGAGGUCAAUGUCCCCAAGGUGUCCCUAGUGUUCGCAGGCGGUGCCACCUUGGAGCUCGAGCCGGCGUCCAUCAUGCUGGACGGCUGCCUGGCUUUCACGGCCUCCCCUGGCGGCCACGGCUCCAUCGGAUUCAUCGGCAACGUGCAGCAGCAGACCUACGAGGUUUUGUACGACGUCGGCAGCGGGAGCGUGGGAUUCCGCAGUGGCGCGUGCUGAUGUGGCAAGCUGCAGGCCAACCACGGCCACUUGUACGUGUGAUGCAUGAUUGGCCCCCUAAUAUAUAUCUGGGUCUACAAGCUAGCUUGCUCAUUGGGAUGGAGCUAGUUUGUGAGUAUAAAUAAAUGCAAGAAAGAAGAUUGAUGUAAUACUUAUAUAUGCAUGUAAUUUUAUAUAGUUUUAUAUAUGCAUGUAAUUUUGUUCAACGGUUGUAUGAUUGUAAACCUUAUAAUAUAACCUUACAGAUUGUCAAGGAAUUCAACCGAUAUAAUUACUCUACUUAUUGAUGUGCAAUAAUGUAAUAUGACUAUUAAGAAGCAUUCUGAUUGUGGAGGUGGUUUCGCACUUUUUACUACAACAAAGGUGUUUGAAGGAUUCCUCGGCAGAAACUAGAACGCACUCCUUCAAUAAUUGACGAGCUAAUUGGUUGUUGAACUUCAGACAAAGAUUGUUGGGCAUGAAAGCGGUCACCAGCGGGUUGAUUGGCCUCACCAGCUCAUACGUGUUCAUGAGGCGUGGUUUUUUUCUUUUCUUGAUUAAUAGUAUUUGUUUCUGGAUGCUUGCAUUGUUAGAUUUGGAAGCGUUCCUACUCCUCGAUGAGGAGCCGGGUUGGUUUAUAUUGAACGAGGCAGAACAGCCCUGCCGUGGCUUACAAGAAGAGGAAACUGAUCGCAAGGAUUGGGUUGUAAGGAGGACUCCUAAACAGCUACGCGAGGGAGAGAGAUAGAAUAGAGUUGAGAUUACAAUGCGGAGAUAAACAUGAAUUCUAACACCCUCCCUUAAUCUCAACUAUUCUAUGUUUAGAUUCCUCUUGAACUCAUCAAAUGGUUUUGCUGGUAGUGCCUUGGUGAACCCAUCAGCCACUUGAUCUUUGGAAGGGAUGAACCGUAUCUCAAGUUUCUUUGCUGCAACCCUUUCAGGCACAAAGUGAAAAUCAAUCUCUAUAUGCUUGGUUCUUGCAUGAAACACUGGGUUUGCAGACAAGUAUGUUGGUCCCAAAUUAUCACACCAUAAACAUGAGAUGCGAUUCUGCUUGACCCCCAUUUCAUCCAGUAGUGAUUCAAUCCAAAUGAUUUCUGCAGUGGCAUUAGCUAAGGAUUUAUACUCAGCCUCUGUAUUUGAACUUGAUACAGUGGCUUGUUUCCUACCACUUUAAGAAACAAGAUUAGGCCCAAAGAACACUGCAAAGCCUCCGGUUGAUUUUCUAUCAUCACUGCAACCUGCCCAAUCAGCAUCAGAGAAUGCACUCACAAGAGUAGAAUUAGAGCGUCUAAAAUGCAGUCCUACUCCCAUAGUAUGUUUGACAUAUCUUACAGUUCUCUUAAUAGCUGUCCAAUGUGCAGUAGUGGAUGCAUGCAGAUAUUGACAAACUUUGUUAACAGCAAAUGAGAUAUCUGGGCGAGUAAGAGUCAAGUACUGUAAUGCUCCAACAGUACUUCUAUACUUUGUGCUAUCUUCCUCAUAAAGUGGCUCACCUUCAUAUGCUGAAAGUUUCUCCGAGGAGGACAAUGUGUAGGUACAGGUUUGCAGUUUUUCAUCCCCAUACGAGAUAGAAGCUUGGUAACAUAUUUCUCUUGUUUUAGUACCAUGCCAUCUUGAGUCAUCUUAACUUCAAUGCCUAGAAAGAAGUGCAAAUGUAACAUCCCAAAAUUCUAAAUUUUGGAAUGUUAUAUUAAAUAAUUAAUUAUGAUUGUUUGUUUGUUGUGUGAUUGAUUGUGUGAAAAUGAUUGGAAAUUGAAAACUUUUUGAAAGUUGAAUGAGAGGGAAUAAAAGGACUUUCUCGAAACUUUUCAUCUUGCAUUUUGAUCUUCCUGAAUUCAAAUUCAUUUCAUCACAAAACCCUAGAGUGAAGAUAUUAUGACUUCUUCCAUUUAAAGAAAUUAAAAAAGGGGUUUGAAAAUGAUUUGAAUUCCAUUUGAAACAUUUCGAAUUUAGAAACUUUAAGAGCAUCUCCAGCCGUUCGCCCCCCAGGACGCAUAAAAAUCGCCCCCAGGGGGCGAGCCGGCGAUAUAAUCGGCGCUGGGAGCGGUUUCGCGCCCAGUCGUCGCCCCCAGGCGUCGAUAUUGGCCCACUUAUCCCAUUUCGGCGAAUAAAGGGCCCAUAUGGGCGACAAUAGGCCCAUAUUCCGCGUGGUUUGCCGUUGUUCGGCGUUCAGUUGUCACACCCUAGCUAGUCAUGCAUUAGAGUGUUGCAUCAUGUUUACUCUUUCAUCAGAAACUUGAAAUGGGGAUGACAGAACCCCCAGUCCCCUCUGAAACCAACUAGGGUUACUAAAAUAAUUUUUCAAUGAACCUGAAAUGCCCUUCUAAAAUGCCCAUCAUUUUUGCCUUGGUUCAGAACCUUUGCCAAAAGUGGUGCACAUUUUCCUAGGCCAUCCUAGGGUUUUUGAAUUAAGUCAUAAGUAUUUGAAUUUGGGCAUUUAAAAUUAUAUAAAAUAUUUAAAUGCUCAAAUAUCUCCAAACUAAAAUGUUUCAUGUUGGAAAUAAUCCAACUAUGGACCAGGAGUAGUUUGGUGAUUUUUGGAGUUGCCUAGGUAUUUUAUUUAAUUCAACAAAGUUGCAGAUAUAUUAAAUAAAAACAGAAAACAGAAAAAUAAAUAAAAGGAGUAGACUUACCUGGACCUACCUGCCCAGCCCAGCCGGCCCAGCACUGUGCUGGCCCGUGCCAGCCAGCUGCUUCCCCUUGCCAGAGCAGGCAGGGAGGUGAGCAUGGCGCGCCCGAGCUCGCCACGCACCACCCAGCCUCUCUGCAUCGCCCUGGUCGCCGUUGCGCCGCGUGGAUCGUCUUCUGGUCGUCGCCCCGACCUCGCCGACACCCCAUUCAUUCUCCCCCGGCUCUCCCUCGCUCUCUCCCCCGCCCGACCGAACACCACCGUCGCCGCCGUUCGCCAUAGCCACCGUCUCCGACCACCCCUCGCUCCCCCGACCAGCUCAGAAGCUCCGCCACAACUCCCUCUUCCUCCCCACCGCUCCACAGCUCCCCGGAAGCCCUGCAUUGCCGCCACGUCGCCGUUCCCCUCUUCGGGCUCCGACCACCGCCGCCGUCGAAUUCGCCGUCUCCAGCGCGUCCCCGAGCCCGCUUCGACGCCCACUGCAACCGCGGUGAGCUACGCCACCGUUUCCCCCUCUCCUUCCCCUCGUUCCCUCACCGUAGCUUCCUCCCCACCACGGCCGAACCUCCGCCGUCGCCGAGCUCGCCGUCGACGCAGCUCCGGUGACCAUUUGGUCACCCCGGCGAGUCCAACGGGUUCACAGAACCCCGUAGAGCAUCCCUAGCGCCUCGCCUUGCUCGACUUCGAGCUCCAGCACCGUUCCCGGACUGCUCAACUCACCCAUCCUUCGGGAAAGAUAGUCAAUGUCUUGACCCGAAUAGCCAAGCGACAAUUAUACUCUCUUAACGCCAGCCCCUUGCCAGACCUUGAGGACGUGCCGGUAGUCUGUGACUUCCCGGAUGUCUUUCCAGAAGAAUUGCCAGGUGUUCCACCUGACAGGGAUGUUGAGUUCGUAAUAGACCUCAUCCCCGGAACCGUUCCGAUUGCUAGAAGACCUUAUAAGAUGGCACCCCUAGAACUAGCCGAGCUUAAGAAACAACUCGAUGAAUCCUUGAAAAAGGGUUUCAUCCGCCCUAGUUCAUCUCCGUGGGCUUGCCCCGUCCUAUUCGUCAAGAAGAAGGAUGGUACGGACCGAAUGGUUGUAGAUUACCGACCUGUCAACUUGGUCACAAUCAAGAACAAAUACCCGCUUCCCAGGAUCAACGAUCUGUAUGAUCAGCUCGCUGGAUCCUCAGUCUUCUCCAAGAUGGAUUUGAGGUUGGGAUACCAUCAAAUCAAAAUCAGAAACGGGGACAUUCCUAAAACGGCCUUUGUUACUCGUUAUGGCCAAUACGAGUACACCGUCAUGUCCUUCGGUUUAACCAACGCUCCAGCCACCUUUUCUCGGUUAAUGAACUCAAUCUUCAUGGAGUAUUUGGACAAAUUCGUCAUAGUUUAUCUCGAUGAUAUACUCAUCUACUCCAAGAACGAGGAAGAACAUGCCGAACAUUUAAGGCUAGUGUUGAAGAAACUUCGAGAGCAUCGCCUUUAUGCCAAAUUUUCUAAAUGUGAAUUCUGGUUAUCAGAAGUGACCUAUCUGGGUCAUGUAAUAUCUGGUAAAGGUAUUGCUGUUAACCCUGAGCGAGUUCAAGCCGUCCUUGAUUGGACUCCACCCGAAUCGGUCAAGCAAGUUCGGAGUUUUCUAGGCUUAGCGAGCUAUUGUCGUCGCUUUGUCGAGAACUUCUCCAAAGUUGCUAAACCUCUAACCGAACUCCUCAAGAAAGAUAAGAAGUUCGAAUGGACUCCACAAUGUGAGCACAGCUUUCAGGAACUGAAAAGACGCCUGACUUCUGCUCCCGUGCUGGUACCGCCAGACUUCUCCAAGGACUUCGUUAUCUACUGCGACACCUCGCGACAAGGACUAGGUUGCAUUCUCAUGCAAGAUCGACACGUAAUUGCUUACGCUUCACGGCAAUUGCACCCACAUGAGGAGAAUUAUCCUACUCAUGAUCUAGAGCUUGCAGCCGUAGUCUAUGCACUUAAGACCUGGCGACAUUACCUCCUCGGUAAUCGUUGCGAAAUAUUCACUGAUCACCAAAGUCUGAAGUAUAUUUUCACCCAACCGGAUUUGAAUCUCAGGCAGAGAUGUUGGGUUGAAUUGAUCACAGACUUCGACUUAGGAAUAACCUACACCCCAGGGAAAGCCAACGUCAUGGCUGAUGCGCUAAGUCGUAAAUCUUAUUGUAACAACCUGAUGUUACAACAAAGUCAACCGCUUCUCCAUGAGGAAUUUCGGAAGCUUAACCUUCACAUUGUACCUCAAGGUUUUCUUUCCACCUUGGUGGCAAAACCUACCCUUACGGAUCAAAUUAUCAAAGCACAGAAGGUAGAUCCGGGAAUCUCCCGCAUCAAGAGAAACAUUCAGAAAGGAAUUGCGAAUUGCUUCUCCAUUAAUGAUCAAGGGGUCGUAUACUUCGGGGAUCGACUAGUGGUUCCCAAAGUGCGAAACCUGAGGCGAUUGAUCCUUAAGGAAGCUCAUGAAUCUCCUCUCACCAUUCAUCCCGGUAGUACUAAGAUGUAUCAGGACCUACGCCAGAGGUUCUGGUGGACUAGGAUGAAGAGAGAAAUUGCUCAGUAUAUUGCUAAUUGCGACGUCUGUCAUCGUGUAAAAGCAGAGCAUCAACGGCCUGCUGGCACCCUUCAACCCUUAGCUAUUCCUGAAUGGAAAUGGGAUAAAAUUGGUAUGGAUUUCAUUACCGGGUUUCCCAGGACCAAGAGAGGGAAUAAUGCUAUUUUCGUCGUGGUCGAUCGUCUCUCCGAAGUAGCUCAUUUCUUACCUGUUCGUGAGAGUAUAACCGCUAGUCAGCUGGCAGAUUUGUACAUCUCCCGAAUAGUGUCUCUACAUGGUGUUCCUUUGGAAAUUAACUCGGAUCGAGGAAGUCUUUUCACCUCUCGAUUUUGGGAAAGUUUCCAAAAUGCUAUGGGAACUCGUCUCUUCUUUAGCACCGCUUUCCACCCUCAGUCGAGUGGUCAAGUGGAACGCGUCAACCAAAUUCUAGAAGACAUGCUUCGAGCCUCUGUUAUCUCUUUCGGAAUGGACUGGGAGAAGUGCCUUCCAUUUGCCGAAUUCGCUUACAACAACAGCUAUCAAUCUAGCUUGGGUAAAGCCCCUUUUGAAGUUCUCUAUGGACGACGAUGUCGAACACCCCUUAACUGAUCAGAGACCGGGGAAAGACAAUUCUUUGGCCCGGAUAUGAUUCAGGAAGCAGAAGAACAAGUUCGUAUCGUUCGUGAAAAGUUGAAAACAGCCCAAUCUCGUCAAAAGAGUCAAUAUGACCGAAAACAUAAGGCUAUGACUUUCGAGGUUGACGAGAAGGCUUAUCUUCGGGUCACCCCUCUGAAGGGAACCCAUCGUUUCGGUAUCAAAGGCAAAUUGGCUCCUCGUUACAUUGGACCUUUUCGCAUUCUUGCCAAACGAGGAGAAGUUGCCUACCAGUUGGAACUACCUCCGCACCUCUCCAGAGUUCACGAUGUCUUCCACGUUUCUCAACUCAGGCGUUGCUUCUCGGAUCCUAUCCGUGAAGUGGACCACGAAACGCUUGAUCUCCAAGAUGAUCUUACAUAUCGAGAGUACCCCAUUCGUAUCCUCGAUCAAGCCGAACGUACCACGCGACGUCAUAAUAUCAAGUUUCUCAAGGUUCAAUGGUUGCACCAUUCUGAGGAUGAAGCAACUUGGGAAAGGGAGGAUCGUCUUCGACUCGAGUAUCCCGCCUUCUUCUCGGAGAAACCCAAAUCUCGGGACGAGAUUCUUUUGAGUGGGGGUGAGUUGUCACACCCUAGCUAGUCAUGCAUUAGAGUGUUGCAUCAUGUUUACUCUUUCAUCAGAAACUUGAAAUGGGGAUGACAGAACCCCCAGUCCCCUCUGAAACCAACUAGGGUUUACUAAAAUAAUUUUCAAUGAACCUGAAAUGCCCUUCUAAAAUGCCCAUCAUUUUUGCCUUGGUUCAGAACCUCUGUCAAAAGUGGUGCACAUUUUCCUAGGCCAUCCUAGGGUUUUUGAAUUAAGUCAUAAGUAUUUGAAUUUGGGCAUUUAAAAUUAUAUAAAAUAUUUAAAUGCUCAAAUAUCUCCAAACUAAAAUGUUUCAUGUUGGAAAUAAUCCAACUAUGGACCAGGAGUAGUUUGGUGAUUUUUGGAGUUGCCUAGGUAUUUUAUUUAAUUCAACAAAGUUGCAGAUAUAUUAAAUAAAAACAGAAAACAGAAAAAUAAAUAAAAGGAGUAGACUUACCUGGACCUACCUGCCCAGCCCAGCCGGCCCAGCACUGUGCUGGCCCGUGCCAGCCAGCUGCUUCCCCUUGCCAGAGCAGGCAGGGAGGUGAGCAUGGCGCGCCCGAGCUCGCCACGCACCACCCAGCCUCUCUGCAUCGCCCUGGUCGCCGUUGCGCCGCGUGGAUCAUCUUCUGGUCGUCGCCCCGACCUCGCCGACACCCCAUUCACUCUCCCCCGGCUCUCCCUCGCUCUCUCCCCCGCCCGACCGAACACCACCGUCGCCGCCGUUCGCCAUAGCCACCGUCUCCGACCACCCCUCGCUCCCCCGACCAGUUCAGAAGCUCCGCCACAACUCCCUCUUCCUCCCCACCGCUCCACAGCUCCCCGGAAGCCCUGCAUCGCCGCCACGUCGCCGUUCCCCUCUUCGGGCUCCGACCACCGCCCCCGUCGAAUUCGCCGUCUCCAGCGCGUCCCCGAGCCCGCUUCGACGCCCACUGCAACCGCGGUGAGCUACGCCACCGUUUCCCCCUCUCCUUCCCCUCGUUCCCUCACCGUAGCUUCCUCCCCACCACGGCCGAACCUCCGCCGUCGCCGAGCUCGCCGUCGACGCAGCUCCGGUGACCAUUUGGUCACCCCGGCGAGUCCAACGGGUUCACAGAACCCCGUAGAGCAUCCCUAGCGCCUCGCCUUGCUCGACUUCGAGCUCCAGCACCGUUCCCGUGCACGACCGAACCCCGGCGGCCGCAGCCGAGCUCGCCGCCGUCGACUCCGGCCACCCCGACCCCAACGGGCUCCGCCAAGAGCUGCGGGUUGUCCUCAGCUCCACUCAGGUGGCCUCCGCGAUCCAUUUGGUGGCCGAAACGACCAAAAUCACUUCCGCCGCCGCGUCGGGCUCGCCGGCGACUAAACGCCGGCAGCCGACACUGACUUUGACCACGGGUGGGCCCUGGUUGACUCCCCUGAGUCAAUGACAGGUGGGGCCCAGCCCUGUUAAUUAAACAGGAUUAGUUUUAAUUAAGUUUUAAUUAAAAUAAUCACCCUGACAUGCGGGACCCACUGUCAGGUUUGACCUGGACCAGUUCCGUUGACCUGCUGACGUCACACUGACGUCAGGCUGACGCAGUAAAUUAAUUUCUGGAUUUAAAUUAAAUCAGGAAAUUCCAGAAUAUUAUUUAAACUUCAAAAAUUCAUAACUUUUAUUCUGUAACUCCAAAUUGGACAAAUUAUAUAUGAAAAAUGAUCAGAAAAAUCCAAUCUAUCCAUCUGUACCAUUUUCAUGCAUGAUCAAACAAGUUAAGUUGAUGUUUUAAUCAGAACAAGAAAAGGCACUUUAAAAGGCCAUAUUUGAAUUUGAAAUCUGAAUCUUUGAUUCAAAUUUGUUCAAACCCUUCUGGUUUUUAGUUGCAUUAGCCCAACACACUCAUAUUGCCAUGUUUCAUGCAUGCAUCAUAUUGUUGCAUAUUGUUUGGUGAUGUUUGUGUAUCGAUGUCCUUUGCGACAGGAUCUGUCCCCGAGGAGUAUCGUGAUUACCCUAACGAAGAACCGUAUCCGUGCAACGAACCAUCAGGCAAGCAACCAACCAUUUGAUCAUAUCAAUACAAUCCCAUGUUCUCGCUCCUGCUCUCAUUUACUGCAUUAAGACAACGCGAUUCAAACUGCUGUGUGCUACGGUAGUUGAACCCAUUUCAUCUGCAUGACCUGUCAUUGCCACAGUAACUAGAUGAAACCCACUAGCAUGUGUAGGAGUUGAUUGAGCCAUAUGUAUGUGUUGUUCCUACCUUGCUAUGCCUGCUAUGCUUAGAGUCGUGUCAGGUCUGGUUCAUCUGGGUGAUGGGCUAGAGUGAAAUGAUUAUGUCGGUAAUGAGAGUGGUGUGGUGAACACGAUUUGGUAAAGGUAUCGAUGAGAGGCCAUGUAGGAGUACAUGGUGGGUUGUUUCAUUGAAGCCGACCUUAAGCACUGAGAUCUGUAUGUGUGAUUUAAGAUACAGCUACUACCAUGCAUUGGGCCCUGAAAUAUGACCCCGCUCGACUUCUUAUUCACCCUAGCUCUCUGUCUAGGAGUUGCAAGUAGUUUCUGGUGUUUGUAGCCUACUGGAGGCCGUGGACAGCGCUGACCGUAGGGGUGGGCUGUGAUGCGGUAGGUACGUGGCACGGUGUACCGAAUACCCGUUAGGUAUCUCGGGAACCCUGUUCACAUCGUUCGGGGCCGUAUGGGAAACCUCGGCCGGACUCCCUGCGGAUGGAACCUGAAUAGGCGAUAAACCUGGACUAGAGGCUUAAGUGUUUAGGUAGGUCGUGGUCUACACCCACGUCGGUUUUCGCUUGAAGUCUGCCGAGCACAUGUCGUGUGCAGACGCUAAGUGGUGGAAACAUGUAUGAAGAAGUACACCCCUGCAGGGUUAUCAUAAUCUAUUCGAAUAGCCGCGUCCGUGGUAAAGGACUACUUGGUUGCCUAUACAGUUCAUAGACAAGUAAAUGGAAACUACUAAAAGCCUCAAGAUAAGUGUGAGUGCCGAGGAUGGCUCUUCCGUAGGAAGACGGAGGUGAAUCCUCGGUAGUGUAUUGAAGUGGUGAGUAGUGGACUCGUGUGCGCAAAACUAUUUCAAGUUGGAGUAUCGUAGGUUAGCCUAGCCAAGAGUCAAAGCUGGCUUGCUGCAAUAACUCCACCAACCCUUCUUGAUACUAUGCAUGUAUGUAGGAUCUGAUGUAAGUCUUGCUGAGUACCUUUGUACUCAUGUUGCUAUAAUCUACAUUUUUUACAGAAGACGCUGCAACCCCUUCUGAUGGGUUCUAUGUAGACGUUGACAUCAACGAGUAGGCUAAAGACCCAGGUGGUGACCCUGAGCUUGUGAUGGACCACGUAGUAUAGCUAGGCUUUCCAAGCCUCUUUUAUUUUACUAGUUGUCUGUACCCAGACAAAGUACUUCCGCUGUUGGCUUGUAUGACUGUAUGAUUUGUAUGUUGGGUCGUGAGACCCGUACCUGUGUGUAUGAUAUGUAUGGCUCCCUGAGCCUUAAAUAAAGUACUUGUGUCAUAGAGUCAUGUUGUGAUGCUUCGUUGUAUUUGCACAUAUCGAGCAUAUUGUGUGUAUGAUUGAAAUGCUUGGUAUGUGUGGGAUCUGACUAUCUAGUUGUUUAUCUUUAGUAGCCUCUCUUACCGGGAAAUGUCUCCUAGUGUUACCGCUGAGCCAUGGUAGCUUGCUACUGCUCUGGAACACUUAGGCUGGCCGGCAUAUGUCCUUCUUCGUUCCUGUGUCUGUCCCUUCGGGGAAAUGUCACGCUUUGAGUACCGGAGUCCUGUUAGCCCGCUACAGCCCGGUUUACCGGAGUCCUGCUAGCCCAGUGCUACAGCCCGGACCCACUUGCUGAUGACCGACACGUUCGAAGCUGGGUCAUGGAUGCCUGUCCCUGUAAGUCUGUGCCACUUUGGGUUUACGACUAGUCAUGUCAGCCCGGGCUCUUUAUCAUAUGGAUGCUAGCGACACUAUCAUAUACGUGAGCCAAAAGGCGCAAACGGUCCCGGGAAAAGGUAAGACGACACCCGUGGGGAUACCGUGCGUGAGGCCGCAAAGUGAUAUGAGGUGUUACCAGCUAGAUCGAUGUGACAUCGAGUCGGGGUCCUGACAUCAAUUAUGCACAUAAAUUUUUUAUCACAUAUUUCAUCACAGAAAUAUCAAAUACUUCAACAAAAUAGUACAACAACAAAUAGUUCAAUACAAUUUAUAUAGUUGAAGAAAUAAAAACUCAUAUUCCAUCACACGUCGCGCCCGACGUCACCCUUGAGCCUCCAUAGAUGCUCUAUCAGAUCUUGCUGCACUUGAUGAUGCACCUGUGGGUCUCGGAUCUCCUGACGCAUACUGAGAUAGGCAGUCCAGGUUGCCGGUAGCUGGUGAUCAACUUCGGCUAGAUGACCCUGCCUAUAGUAUGGUUCAGUGUCAAACACUGGGUCUUCUUGCUCGUUCUCGAUGAUCAUGUUGUGCAAGAUGACACAGCAAGUCAUAAUCUCCCACAUUUGAUCUUUCGACCAGGUCUGAGCGGGGUACCGGACAACAGCAAAUCGAGAUUGGAGCAUACCAAAUGCCCUCUCGACAUCCUUCCUGUAAGCCUCCUGAACCUUCGCAAACCAGCCGUUCUUGCCUCCUGGCACAGGGUUUGAGAUCGUCUUCACAAAUGUCGACCAUCUCGGAUAGAUGCCAUCAGCUAGAUAGUACCCCUUGUUGUAGUGCCGCCCAUUGAUCUCGAAGUUCACCGGAGGAGAAUGACCUUCAACAAGCUUGGCAAAGACAGGAGAGCACUGCAGCACGUUGAUGUCAUUGUGAGUUCCUGGCAUACCAAAGAAGGAGUGACAAAUGCAGAGGUCCUGUGUGGCCACCGCCUCAAGUACCACACUGCAACCGUCUUUGGCGCCUUUGUACAUCCCCUGCCAAGCAAAUGGGCAAUUCUUCCAUUUCCAAUGCAUGCAGUCGACUCUUCCAAGCAUCCCAGGAAAUCCUCUUGCUGCAUUCUGUGCUAGGAUCCGAGAAGUGUCUUCCGCAUUGGGUGUUCUCAAGUAUUGCGGUCCAAACACGGCCACCAUUGUCCGAAAGAACUUGUAGAAACACUCUAUGCUGGUGGACUCGGCCAUGUGCCCAUAGUCGUCGAGUGAAUCACCGGGAGCUCCGUAUGCAAGCAUCCUCAUCGCUGUCGUGCACUUCUGAAUGGAGGUGAAUCCAAGGGCGCCGGUGCAAUCCAUCUUGCACUUGAAGUAGUUGUCGAACUCCCGGAUGGAAUUCACAAUCCUGAGGAAGAGCUUUCGGCUCAUCCGAUAACCGCGCCGAAAUGUUUUCUCGCCGUGAAGUGGAGCAUCGGCGAAGUAGUCGGAGUAGAGCAUGCAGUAGCCUUCGAGACGAUGCCGGUUCAUUGCUUUCACCCGCCCCGGCGCCGAGCCACCUCGCUGCGGCUUUUCAUUGCUCGCCAGCAGCUGGGCAAGGGCGGCGAGCAACAUGAGAUGCUCUUCUUCCUGGACAUCGGCCUCGGCUUCCUCCUCCAACAGCGCGGCGAGCGCUUCCUCAUCAUCCGAGUCCAUCGCCGAGGCAGGCAAAUCGCCGAACACCUUGCGCCCGGUGGGCGUGUACCCGCCGCUAAACUGCCCCUCUGCGGCCGGAAACACCCAGCUGCUGUUGGAGGGGCUGCCGCGGUGAAGCUCUGCUAUUUUUUCGGCGGGGAAUGGCUAUCUAGCGGUGAAGGGCGGCAGGCGGCGUCAGGAUAUAGCUAGUGGCGGCCGAGGGCGCGGGGGUGGGAGGCGAGUCGGGGAAGAAAACCUUAACUUUUCCCCUGCUGGUGUGGGCCAGCCGCGCUUUUCCCUUGCGCCGGGGCUCCCAAUUGCCCCUAGUGCGCCGGGUUUGGCCUGUGACCGCCGAGCGGAAAAAAGGGCCGAACCGGCAAUUUUCGGCGUCCUGGGGGCGCGAGUGGGGAAUUUUUUUGGCGCCGGCGGCGAAAAAGUGGCCUGGGGGGCCUGUUGGGGGCGCGGCCGGAGAUGCUCUAAGCAAUUCAAUGAGUUCAUGAGGGAAGAUAAAAUGACUUCUUCAAAUCAAAGGAAGAGAGUUGGAAGUUUCAAAGGAAUAAUUUGAAGACACUUUGAAGUUAUUUGAAACUCAUUUUUCCAUUUGAAGUUGUUUGAAAUUCCAAAUUUCAAAUCCUCUUGGGAGUUAUUUAGGUUUAAUUCAAAUUAUUUUUCUCCAAAAAAUAAAUAGAUGGAAAUAAGGGUAAAAUGAUUCCCUUCAAUAGAAAAUUAGGAGAAAAUAUAUUUGAAAUCAUUUUGCUAUUUUAAAAACGAUUUUUAUUGAUUUUAAAUGCAAUAGUAGCACUAUUUGACUUUUAUGAAUUUUUAUGGAAUUUAGUUGAACUUGAAAAAUAAUUCAUCUUAUUGCUGCUAUUUUUCUGAGCAUUUUGGUAUAUAAUAUUCCUACGUAAUUUUUUUAGUUAUCUUCCUAUGUUGAAGGUUUUGUUUCUGCAAAAAAAAACACGCGCCCGCCAGCCAGCCCAGGGUCUUCGGCCCAAGAGCCAGCCAGCACACCAAGCCGGCCCAGCAGCGCCCCAGGCCGCUCGAGGCCUCUUGCCUCGUUCUCCCAGGCCCCUCUUCCCUCGCUCGCUCUCUCCCACCGCCGCUGCUAGUGGGGCCCGCAACCCUUCGUCCCUAACUUCCCGCUCCUCCCGUUGAUAUAGAGCACGUUGAUAUAGAGCACGCGUGUGCCGCCCGCAACUGCCGGCUGCUCUGCUCGGGAUAGAGCUCAUCCCCAGUGUCCGCAGCCUCUUCUCGCGCCUAUAAAUUCCCCCGACUCCCCUCGUUCGAUUUUGCCACUCCGCAACGACCCACGCCACUCACAGCCGCCGCCUUCGUCGUUUGGAUCUCGCCCGUCGGAGCUACCUGGCCGGUCCGUUCCCCCGUCCGUAAGACUGCCUCGACCCGUUCUUCUUUGUCAAUUGACUCCCCGCGUCAAGGCGCAUCUGAUUGACAAAAAAUUGCCGCCUUGGUCGUACCAGAGACGACGCCCCGACGCGCCGCGCUCUCGCCGGAGCACCGGAGCUCCGCCGCCUCCCUCCGCUCGUCGCUGGCCACCCCACCGCCCGCCGACCCCACCAGCACGCCGCCCACGCCGCGCCCGACCUCCCCGACCCCUUCGUCGCCGCUGCCCACUGAGGACCGCCGGAGACGCCCCCGUGUCCGCCGUCCGCCGCCUGACGCUAGCGCUGCCGCCCCUGUUCGCCGUCCUCGCUCGCUGUGAGCCGCUGACCCUCAGUCAUUUUUGUUGUUGUUGUAUUAGAUCGGGUAACCGUGGUUUUAUUAAACCGUGCAGUUUAGUAAAAAACCGGUCUCCGGUUUUCUUUUUAUUUAGCCGCGGUAGCCGUUUUAUUUAUUCAGUGGCCGUCCGCCGUUUAGCCUGAGCCGCGAACGCUUCUCAGCCACCCGGAAGCCGCCACGUGGCCAGGGACCUGGUCACGAAUAAAACUUUCACAAUUAAGACCCUUAGAUUUCAGUUUAGCCCCUAAACUUCGAAUGGUUGUAUCUUUUUAACCGUAACUGCAAAUUCGACGAAACCAGCAGCAAAAUGUUCAUGUCCAAUAGUUUUAUCCAGAGAACCAACUUUGAAAACUUUUGGACAAAUUCAAAUUUGAACUUUAUUCAGAUUUGAAUUCAAACUUCAACUGGCCAUAUCUCUUAAACCGUAGCUCCGAUUGGUGUGAUUCUUUUUGCAACGUGUCAUCGUAGCCAAACCCUACCACCUAGACCUUGUCACAAUCUGUCUAUGAUAGUUUUACUAUUAUGCCAUGUAUGGACUUUAGUACACAUCACAGUUUUGAACCCCAUGUCACAAGUUGUUUUGCACUUAGGAUAUUUCCAUGCUAGUUAACUGUGUUGAAUAUUCAUUUGGUUUUUCUGAGACUUUGUGCUUUGCAUGUUCUUCUUGGUUCUCUGAAACGAUUGCUUAUGUGAGUGCAAUGUUUGACUUUAUAGAUUUUCAUCGGAGAGUGAAGAAUAGUUCUAUUAAAUAAAUUUCUGAGAGCGAUAUAAUCUUCAUCAACUAUUACCAGGCAAGUUCACAUUUGACCAUUUUUCCAAUUACCUAUGUUUAUAUUAUGCACUUAGUCCUUUUGUGGUAGGAUUGCAUGGUAGGAUUUAUUGUUACCAGAUGGCUAUGCCGUUACCUAGUAGUUCAUUUAAGGUAGGUAUGAUCUAUACAUCCUUGUCACCACCGUGUAAGUUUAUUUUUGCCUCACUAAAUGUAGACGUGGUUUGGGAAGCGAACAUGGCGAGACAUGAGUGACAAAGUAGUAAUCAGGACCAAGACUUGUAAAUGAACUACCUGGGCGGUAUUUUGUUUGAAUGGUGGCGAAGUACAGUGGGAGCAUGCAUGGUUAAUCCAUGGUGGUGCACCACUAGUGGUUGGCCGCUUAGGCUCAAAGAGAUCAAUAGUAUUCUCAUGUCUAGAAGCUUAAGUGUGCAGCCACAAACCAAUAUGGGCUCUAGCUUAGUUGAGUAGUUAGUGUGACCCAUUCCGGGAUGGGCUAGCAGAUGUAGAAUGAUGUAGGUGUACCGGCCUAUCCAUGGGUUAAGGGGUGACAUUUUUGAAAGAGUAUGUCUCGGUCAUCCUGUUCUCAAACGCCAGGCAGUGCGAGAACUCCAGGGGAGGCGAUCGAGUCUUGUGGGGAAAAGUGCGCAAACCUCUGUAGAGUGUUUUUUUUGAACUUGACAGUGGGAGAGAACUCCCACUGUAUAUUUUCACAUAUCUAUAUAAAUGGGGUGUUUACAUAGACAUACCACUCACACACAUCCAGCUCCACUCUUGGUGGAACCACCAGGGGUGGGGCAACUACACCAUGGUCACUGCUAUACACUUGUCUCUAAGUAUUUAAAGAGGGAAGAAUAAAACACAGUAUGUCUCAGCUAAGUGUGCCACAGUAUGAAAGCAGGGCAGCUCUACGUGUACCCUGAACUCUAUGUUGCAGAAGUCCCAAGUCCUCUUUGAAUCGAUGGAACCAAGAUGCAAUGCUUGGGGUUACACCUCUGAAGUGUUUAUUGUUUCUUUCCUUCCACAAACUCCAGGUAGUAGUGAAAAAUGCUUCAAUGAAGAAAGGAUUGGGCCAGUUGGGUUGUGCGUUUUGCAACGCAUCAAACCUAUUUUGAAAAUCAAUCCAGUGAACACCUAUCUUGGCCCAACACCUUUCGCUGAACUGGCAGGUGAAGAUCAUAUGCUCGAGAGUCUCAUCUGCAUUUUGCCCACAAAGGAGACAUGUGAUGUCAUUCCCAAUGUCAUAGUGUCUUCUUCUCAGCAUGUCACAUGUGUUCAACCUGUCGUGCAGCAACAACCAUCCAAAUACUUUGAUUUUCAUCAUACAGUUUGAUUUCCAAAGGAGCGGGAAGAUGGGAUGAGCUGUUGCAUCACGGGAGAAGUUGUUAUAGUAGUCUUUUGGCUUGUACCCAGCUGCCCCCCAAGCAUAGAGCCAAACAUCAGAUAUUGUUGUGGAUGGGUGUAUGCGGAAUGCUGCAUGUUGGACAUCUUGCACCUCGUUGAGCGCACGAGCAGAUAGCGGUAGGUGAAAGGUUUCAUGCAGUUCAGUGUUGGCCCAGAAGUCAGCGACCGUCAUGUCUUCCUGCAGAGCAAAUGAAAAGGCACGCGGGUGCGAUGUUUGUAGCACAUCAUUUGACCACAAGUCUUUCCAGAGCAGCGUAGUCGAGCCAUCAACUACUUGGACACGAGUGAUCCCUCGGUAGAUGGGCGUUAAUUUGAGAAUGUCUUUCCACCAGAAAGAACCGACUAGAUCAACCGCAUGAGGCACCUGGUUAGCAUACUGAUUAUCCCAAAGCAUAGUAACCCAUGGUACGUCCAGUUUGUUAUAGAACUUGUGGAGAAAUUUUAGCAGGAGGGCUUCGUUGUAGAUUGUAAUGUUGAUCACUCCUAACCCACAUUUACACUUGGGCUUGCACACUAGUUCCCAAGCCGCAAGCGAAUUACAUUUGUCACCUUGGUCGGUUUUCUUUGUCCAGAGACAUCUCCUUCUAAUCUUGUCAAGAAUUUCAAUUAGAUUCGGAGGGAACUUGAGCGUGCACAUGGCAAACACCAGAAGGGAUGUGACCGAUGCAUUGAGCCAGGAGAGGCGGCCCCCAUAGGACAUCAUAGCGAUCGUGGCAGUGAGACGAUGCUCCAUUUUGCAAACUAGAGGCAUGAAUUCUUGAAUGGUUGGUCUUGUAGUGCCAAGUGGCAGGCCAAGGUAGGUGAAAGGCAUUGUACCUAUAGUGCAGCCAAAAAUGGCAGCAAGGCUAGAGGUUGCACUUGCGUCCAGGUUGAUUGGUAUGAGCGUCGACUUGUGAAAGUUAAUUUUGAGGCCAAUAGAGGAUGCAUAGUCAGAGAGAAUGUUCUUGACACGGGCAGCCUGUUGUGGGCAAGCAGGCAAGACAAGGAGGGUGUCGUCCGCAUAUUGGAUCACUGGGUAAUCAUUUUGCCCAUUGCAUGGAAAAGGCAGGCUGAUAUCUCCACGUCGAUAAGCAUCAUUGCCGUGGCUUGAAGUAGUUCAGCUGCCAGGACGAAAAUGAGGGGGGACAGAGGAUCACCUUGCCGCACACCGCAUCGACAAAGGAACUGUCGGCCUGGGACCCCAUUAAGAAGUUUGGACGAGCGACCCGAGGAGAAGAGGCACUUGAUCCAGGAGAUCCACUUGUCACUGAAACCCAUCUGCUGCAUAAUGCAAAUCAUUGGUUCAUGCGUGAUGGUAUCGAAUGCUUUGGCGAAAUCAAGUUUAAGAAUAAUGAUUGGCCGGCCCAAGUUUUGACAGUGAUAAAGAUAUUGAUAAUCUCAUGCCAGACAAUUCUGUAUAGUAUGCCCUUUAAUGAACCCAUACUGAUUCCGGUGAAUGAGGGUGAGAAUGACAAGUUGAAGUCUGUCUGCUAGCAGUUUGGUAAUCAACUUGAGGCAGCAGUUGAGCAAUGUAAUGAGUCUGAAAUCAUUGACUGUUUCUGGAGAGUUAGUCUUAGGUAUAAGUGUGAUAAGACCAUCAUUGAUACUUGUGACAUCUAACGUACCUGCAUAGAACUGAUCACAUAGGGUGUAAAAGUCAUGUCGAAUGAUGGGCCAGCAGGCUUUCAAAAACGCCCCACUAAAGCCAUCUGGGCCAGGUGCGUGGUCCGGAGGCAUACCUUUGACCACAUUAUCGAUUUCCUCAUGUGAAAAAGGCGUGGUAAGUUGGUCAAGAUUUGUAGCGCGGGGGAUAAUGUUUGGAAGAUCAAAUUUCAUGUCUGAAGGGGAGACCGUACCCAGGCGGUUUUUGUAAGUUUGAAACAAGAGGGCCUCUUUUGCAGGAUGAUUGUCGACCAAUGUGCCAUCCUCAAGCUUGAGUGAGGAGAUAUUGUUUUGUCGAUAACGUUCCCUGGCCACUGCUUGGAAAAACUUGGAGUUUUCAUCGCCAAACUUGAUCCAACGAAUAGUACAACGCUUCUUCCAAUAAAGUUUUUGAUAUUUGAGCAGUCUCAGCAAGUGUGACUUUAGGAUACGUUUGAAGUUCAUUUUUGGAAUUGAAAGGAUUCGUUUAUUCUGCCAGGACAUGGUUACAGUUCGUGAUGGCCACUAAUAGACGAGAAAUAUUCUUACUCCAGAUUUUGAGAGUGUGUCGAAGAGCUUUGAAUUUUCAGCAAAGGAUUGUGGCAGCAUUUGCGUUCCAAACUGGCCAUUCCCAAACCUCUCUAACUAUGUCCAUAAACCCUGGGUGUAAGGUCCAGUAGGAUUCAAAACGAAAGAGCUUGGAUCGGGGGAUUUUGGUCUCUAUGGUGACAACGCAAGGGAUGUGAUCAGAAACGGGCUUGCCAAGGGGUUUAACGAGCAUCUUAGGAUAUGCGUUACUCCAAUGCAAGGAUGUGGAGAACCAGUCAAUCUGUUCAAGCAAAGGAUCGGUCUGCAUAUUGCUCCAAGUGUAGGUUCUACCUUUUACCGGAAGCUCAAUCAGUUGCUGCUGACGAAUGAUGUCAUUGAACGUAAUCAUGUCGUGAAUGUUACCCCCAGGUUUAUUAUGAUUGUCUGGAGCUCUCAUGUAGUUAAAGUCGCCCAAAAGUAACCAGUCUUGGUUACGGGGUAUUUGAACAUCGUACAACCAUUGCGUGAAAACAUCCCUGUCUGUACCAGUGCAAGGCCCGUACACGUUAACUAACGUCCAAUGUUGAGAGGAUUGCGUGCUAACGAACUCGAUGGCUAGCGCAAAUGGAUCAGACGAGAGUACUGAACCAGAGAAAACCGAGCUUUUCCAGAUUGUAAGUAACCCCCAGAGGCGCCGCGCGAAGGGACAAAAGCAAAACGAUCAAAUUGUCUAGGACAGCAAGUUUUAAUAGAAGCAAAAGUAACCUCAGGCAUCUUAGUCUCCUAAGGACAAGCGAUAGCAAAACCACUGGUAGAGAUAGCAUUAUUCAGAGCCAGUCGCUUCUUCUCAGAAUUGAGCCCACGGAUAUUCCAUGAGAGCACAUUCCAGCAGCUCAACGACGUCAUAUAGAACUCCAAUAUUAAGCAGAGGUGUGAGAGAGAUCCUCUCCCUGGUCAUCACUAUUAAUCGAAGAGGCAAAAGAUUCGGGCACGGCAGCAGUUUCAGCAAGCAGGGCUUCUUUAGAAAGUUCAGUAGCAGGUAUAGCACAUCUGUUAACUCCAAUGGAUUGUAGAGUAACUAUAGGAGUUGGGGGCGGGACCUCACCAGCAGAAGUAGCAGCAGAUGCUGAUGUGCCAAUAGACGGGAUGACACGGGGCUUAACUUUGGAAUUGUUCUUGCGACUGUCAGAGAGGGGAGGAACCUUGACCCCAUCAUACGUGUUGGAGCGGAGACUGCGGCGCACUUCAGUUGUGGAGAUAGGGGCAGCAGCCCUGGUCCUACGGGGGCGCGGGCCAGUGGUGGCCAUAGAAGCAGUUGCCUCUGAGAUCACAGAAGGUUCUGAAGGUGGAAUGUGCACAACUUGUUCUGUGUCCAUUGGGGCGUCUUCAGUGUUGGGCGGCAUGGCGGGCUCAAUGGCGUUUUCCACACUAGCAUGUUCAGAUAGGUCCUCAAUGAUCACAGCGGAGGCAGCCAAAGCAGAAGUAGAGCUUGAUUGCUGGGAAAAGGUCAGACUAGUAGAAUCCUGUGUGAUCAAGACAGACAACUGAACCUGGUUUGUUCUCAGACCAAACCCCUCUAUCCAAGGUCCAAAAGUUGCAAGCAUUGGGCUAACAGCUUGGAAGAUGAAUGUGUUAAGAUUCAGGCGUGGGAUUGGGUCAUUCAGCAGCCUGGAAAGGAUCUCAUCUCCUUGAGCAGAUAAACCAAAUCUGACACCUUGAUCAUUGAUCUCCAGUGUGAUGUUAAGAGAUUCAAAGCUUGCACUGUCAGACAGCUGUAUAGCUGGAUCAGCCGGGAUGAGAAUGUCAGACUGGGUCAAGCUUGAACUGUCAAACUGGGUGAUCGAAUCAUUCCAAGCUUGGAGAGCAUUAUCAGUGACAUUGUUUUCAGGGACUAACCCAUGUUGCACAGUCAGACCCUGCGCAGCAAGCCAGGCUUGUUAGUUCACCAAAUGGAGCGGCAUUUGCGGGAGUGGAGGAGCAGCGGGCGCCUCCCAAGUGCCCCAUCCAGUGUUGUCAUCCACUUGUUGAGCCUCAUUGUUGCCAGCUGCGGGUGCACCAUUCUGAAUGAGCCAAUUGUGAACUUGCUGCUGAUAUAACUGUUCUGCAGUGAGUUCAGGGCCAAACUGUGGAUGUGGGUUGCCAUCGGGGGGUGGCAUUUCCUCAGGUGCAGCAGGUACAUCAGGGAGGAGGCCAUUCCAGUCGUUGCUGCGACGGAUGGUCACUACUACUGUCCAACUGUCGUGCGCACCACCCAGCUGCCAUACCACAAAGCUCUUGGGGAUGAGGCGCAGACUAAGUACUCUGACUUUUAGAAGGAUGAAUCUGCGGUCCUGACGCGGAUUAUACCAGGAAACUAAGGAACCAUAUCCACCCAAGGCCUUAGUGAUGUAAUAGUCCAUUUGGUAGUCAUACGGAAAGCCGAAGAACAUAAUCCAAAUCUCAGGCCCAAACGGUGCAGCUCUACGAUUAAGAGCCGCAUUGUGCGAAACGAAGGUGAUCAACAGAUCUUCAUCUUCAAGCUCAAGCGGUGUGUUGACAGCAUUAUCUCUCAUAAAGGAAUCCACAAAACCAAAAAUCCCAACACCAAGGGGGUGAUCCGAUGGCGGACGGUGGCCCGGCGAUGCAGGGGCAGAUACUCACUGGCUUCUGCAAUGGCCAGGAACUCAUGGCUGAGUGGAGCAAUCGGGCCAACGACCAUGCCGCUGCGCACAAGACUAUCGGCCGGCCCUGGCUCAGCGGCAAAACCCGGCGGGAGGAAAGGCACAGGGUUCAGUGGGUAGUUCGCCAUUGUGGUGGAAGGGAUCAGAGGGGAGGACGGUGGUGCGGAGAUGGGAUGCAACUGCAAUGGCGCAAGCUGCAGCAAAGCGUCAGACUGUGGCGAUGGGACUGGACGGGAUGUGGCCCAUUGGGUUCUCGAGGCGGAAGCUGAAGCGUGAAUGGGGGCGGUAGAAGGCAAAGUUGCCUUUGCAACCUCUGUAGAGUGUUAAAACCUAAUCGAUUAACCAUGUCCCCGGUUACGGACAACUUGAGCAUCUAGUAGUGGAAAUGAUGGGAGAUCUCAUCACUCUUAAUUAAACAGUUGGUUUUUAAAUGAAACAUUGGGAAUGGAUUGAGUUGGGUUUGCCAACUCAUCCUAUGCUAUACUGUAGUGAUAGACUAAUGUCUUUUAUUCUAGGGAAAAACUAGCUUUAUGCAAAAACUAAACUUAGAGUUUUCCACCAGCCAAAUUGCAUGUACAAAUAGGUUCAUUAUUCUUAUGAUGUGACUUGCCAGUACAUUCAAUGUACUGACCUAUAGGGCUGCAACGUCUUAUGUUGCAGGAAUUUCUACGACGAGUAAGAAUUAUGUUGUAGGGUUAUCGUCUACACUCAACUUGCCGUUGGCGUUGAUGGGACUCCACACCCGUUCGAUUGUUUCCACUGAGAUUUAUGAGGUAUAUAUCAGUUUUGCGUUAUUUAUACAUUUGAUUGAACUUUGAUAUAUACAUUGAUGUACUGUGUGUGCCAGCAUAUCAAUCCAGGGAUGGCCCGGAUACACAGAGGCUUGACAGUUUGAGCUCGGGUCGCUACAGAGAUGGUAUCAGAGCACAUGUUGACUAUAGGACGUGACCCUAGAAACUGGAAAGCCCUUAGGAAAAGAUUUCUCUAAAAGUUUAUUUUCAAAAAGAUCCUUUACCUCUCUUCAUUUCUGAGCUUUAUCAAAUCUUUCCUUUUACCCCAAAUAGGUAGGCAAUAUCCCUUUUCCCUUUCACCACGCGGAGGAUCAACUGAUGAGACCACUCCGAGAAGGGCAAGAUAUCGGCCAACUGAUGGCCACUUCAAAGUAAAGAGGAUUUCAUCAUGCAUUAGAACAGUUAAUGCUACGACAGUCGAAGACUCGAAGAAUUUGAAGACACUGAAGAAUUCCAAGAUUUAUAUGACCUUUAGAAGACCAAACCCUUGUUGUGUACUCACGUUAGAUGCGAUGAUUUGUGAGCUGUCAUAUUUGGUGUGUGUUUUCCAUUGCAACAAAUAAAACUUAUUUUCAAAAACUAUAUUGUUUGUAUUGUGUGUAUCUUUCUCUAUCCCUCUUAUCUCAUCCCAAAACCCUUGGACCCAAUAGAUGAUGAAUGAAGAUGGACUUGUAUUCUCUGGACCGAUCACUCGGUUAGAGGAAGAGCUAUGGAUUCAAAACAUGGAGAGUCACUUCGAGAGCAAUUUGGUUGCAAGGAAGUAUGAGGUUCAAUAUGCUCUUUAAUACUUUACAAAAAGUGCUACAACAUGGUGGAAAAUGCAUCAAGCCAUACAAGGAUGUAAUGGAGCAAAAACUUGGGAGGAAUUGAAGAAGACUCUGUUGGGAUCCCGUCUUAUCCGGAAGCACGGUGAUAAACUGAUGAAGAAACCUUGUGCCUGCAAGAUAUGUGGAGAAAUAGGACACACCCAUGAAGAACACAAGGAUGGAUGCCCUCAUUAUGAAGGAAAUCACCCAGCAGAAGAGUGCCCAACUAGGCAGGUUACUUGUUUCUUGUGUGAAGGAACUACGCACUACCCUGCCCAGUGUCAUAUUUACCCCAGGGUACAAGAAAUUACCAAGAACCAGAAGGAAGAAGUGAAAGAAGCCCUCAGGGAAAGUUUAAGAAAACUGGUGAUGAAAGAAGAUGUUGACGACCCUGAUGGAGAAAGCCUAAACAGAUUUUACUCCAAUGCUUGCUAUGCAUGUGGAGAAGAAGGACAUUUCUCACAAUAUUGCGUGAAGGAAAACCAAGAGUAUCUGGGAGACUUCCCGAUAGAAGAAGUGGGGUUUGAUCGACAAGAGAUAGAAGAAUUGAUCGGAACGAAGAAGUCGAGGAAGAGAAAGAGCAUGUAUCCCCAGAACAACCCAGUUUCUGCAGAAAAGGACCUGAGUCAUAUCACUUGUUACAGCUGCAAGGAUUUAGCUCAUUAUUCUAGCAAAUGCCCACCAAGGAAGCCAAGAACCCAAGGAACCAAGAUAACCACCAGGAACCCCUGGAUUUGUCUGACGCCAUUUGUUUACGCUGCAAAGGAGUAGGACAUUUUGUCAGAGAAUGUUCAGACCCGAGGAAAGCUUGAGCAGAGUAGUUGAGAUCUUGAUAUUGGAAUAAAGCAUGUAAUAAAUGUGGAACGCACUUUUAUUUUCGUGGGGGGUGUUGAUACGUCUCCAACGUAUCUAUAAUUUUUGAUUGCUCCAUGCUAUAUUAUCUACUGUUUUGGACUAUAUUGGGCUUUAUUUUCCACUUUUAUAUUAUUUUUGGGACUAACCUAUUAACCGGAGGCCCAGCCCAGAAUUACUGUUUUUUUGCCUAUUUCAGUGUUUUGGAUAAACGGAAUAUCAAACGGAGUCCAAACGGAAUAAAAUCUUCGGGAACGUGAUUUUCUCACCGAACGUGAUCCAUGAGACUUGGACCUUGCUCUAAGGAACAAAAGAGGCGGUCACGAGGGUGGGGGGUGCCCCCCCUAGGGCGCGCCCCCCUGCCUCGUGGGCCCCUCGUUGCUCCUCCGGCGUACUUCUUCCUCCUAUAUAUACACAUGUACCCCCAAACGAUCAGAAGAGGAGCCAAAAACCUAAUUCCACCGCCGCAACUUUCUGUAUCAGAAGAGAUCCCAUCUUGGGGCCUGUUCCGGAGCUCUGCCAGAAGAUGGCCGUCAUCACGGAGGGCUUCUACAUCCUCCUAGCCCCUCCGAUGAAGUGUGAGUUGUUUACCUCAGACCUUCGGGUCCAUAGUUAGUAGCUAGAUGGCUUCUUCUCUCUCUUUGAAUCUCAAUACAAAGUUCUCCCCCUCUCUUGUGGAGAUCUAUUCGAUGUAAUCUUCUUUUCGCGGUGUGUUUGUUGAGACCGAUGAAUUGUGGGUUUAUGAUCAAGUCUAUCUAUGAAUAAUAUUUGAAUCUUCUCUGAAUUCUUUUAUGUAUGAUUGGUUAUCUAUGCAACUCUAUUCGAAUUGUCCGUUUGGUUUGGCCAACUAGAUUGGUAGUUCUUGCCAUGGGAGAAGUGCUUAGCUUUGGGUUCGAUCUUGCGGUGUCCUUACCUAGUGACAGAAGGGGCAGCAAGGCACGUAUUGUAUCGUUGCCAUCGAGGAUAACAAGAUGGGGUUUAUUUCAUAUUGCAUGAAUUUAUCUCUCUACAUCAUGUCAUCUUGCUUAAGGCGUUACUCUGUUUUUAACUUAAUACUCUAGAUGCAUGCUGGAUAGCGGUCGAUGAGUGGAGUAAUAGUAGUAGAUGCAGAAUCGUUUCGAUCUACAUGUCACGGACGUGAUGCCUAUAUACAUGAUCAUGCCUAGAUAUUCUCAUAACUAUGCUCAAUUCUGUCAAUUGCUCAAUAGUAAUUUGUUCACCCACCGUAGAAUACUUAUGCUCUUGAGAGAAGCCACUAGUGAAACCUAUGGCCCCCGGGUCUAUUCUCAUCAUAUCAAUCUCCAUCACUUUAAAUCUUGCUUUGUUUUUACUUUGCUUUUACUUUUUAAUUUGCAUCUUUAUACCAAAAAUACCAAAAAUAUUAUAUCUAUCAGAUCUCAUUCUCGUAAGUGACCGUGAAGGGCUUGACAACCCCUAAUCGCGUUGGUUGCGAGUAGCUAUCGCUUUGUGCAGGUACGAGGGACUUGAGCGUGGGCUCCUACUGGAUUGAUACCUUGGUUCUCAAAAACUGAGGGAAAUACUUACGCUACUCUGCUGCAUCAUCCCUUCGUCUUCGGGGAAAACCAACGCUAGCUCAAGAUGUAGCAGGUGUUGAGUUGAGUUACCGAAUGGAAAUUGUAAUAGCUCAUGAAGAAAUAAAAAUUGAGUUGUUUGGAAUCUCAUAUGAAAUGUUAUGAGUUGUUUUUUGAUUGUGAGUGCCUUUCUCACUAUGUCACCCAGACAUAAACCUUGAACCCAUGGACAAGCUGACCCCAAAACCUUCACUAAAAAAACGACAUUUCACCCAAGGAAAUACAUGCAUUAUCCUAAGUACCCCUUCUAUCUUAUACCUGCAGAUGGCAACCCUUUACGAGUCUUUUCUCAAGGGCCCAGAAACGAUCAUGACCCUAACUAGUGAUCAGGAUUACCCAAAGAUCCUCAAGGACAUGAUGAAGCAUAUUCAUCUUGAAGGAGAUGCAGUCUACAAGGGUUAUCCUUUCAUGGAGAAUGGAGUUGAACUUUGGUACGUGGAGGUACACCUCCAUCGUGUGAAGGGAGUUUUCCCAAAGAGUAUGGGGCAAUACUUUUUCAUUUCUCGAGUACCCCGAGCAACAUUCUUCGACUCUGUUCGUGAAACUGCUAUGGAAGCCAUACGUCAGAUAGGAGAAAUACUUGAAGCCAGACUUCGUUAUACUCAGGAAUACCCGAGGGAGGUGCAUGCAAAGAUGAUGGAGAUGAAGCUCAUGGCCACCAUGAUGAAGCAAAAGGUCGAUGAUUUCAAGGACCACAUUGUACAAUUCCAGUGGGACUAAAUUAUCUUCAAGAAGGGCAAAUGAAUAAAGAUGGAAGUAAUGCUUGACCAUAGCAAACUAUGUGGAUGGCAGCUUUUUGUAAUAGAGUACUUUUGAAAUUUGAGUUUUGAGUAGUGGUUAAGGAUGUAAUAAAGGAUUUGAUAUGAAGAGAAUUAUGGAUGAACCAGUGCAUUUUUUGGCGAUACCUGUCUGUGCGAACACUUGACCAAUGGAAAAGGAAAUGUAUUCCAUAGAGUGAAGUUUGGACAAAUGAGUUGGAGUUUGGUUUUAGUUAUGAUGGUUACCCCAAGAGUAUGAAGGAAUGAAGUACUAUUGGAUUUAAAGGAGAUGUAAUGUUGGAAUAUGGAACAAUAGUAACUCCAAGGAUGAGUUAAAGAUAUACAAGUGUUGAAGUGGGCCAUAACCCACAGGACCCAGGAUUUGAUAAGGAAACAAGCACAAUCUUGUUGAAGAAAAUAAUUCUGAAAGAAGCCAUGAUUUCAUCAGCAUACGUUUCAUAGGAGGUUACAUAAACCCAGGAGUUGUGAAUAAACGAUAGAGGUUUUCUUUGGCUUGCAGAACCAAUGGAUUUAUCCGAACCCAGUUCGUGGAGAAGAGAAGUUUUGCAAUGCUUGUGAGGAUGCCCAAGGGCUAGAAUGCGUGAUUCACUAUCUACGUAUGUGGUAAUGAUUCAAGUACGACAUGGAUUGGCCCCCAUACCGGAGACUUCUAUCAUGAGCUAUCAUAUGAUUGAUAGAAAAUCAGAGAGCCUUAAAACCCUAGAAGAGUGUCGACACGACAAGCCAAAAGCCUUAGAAUGGCAGGAUGAUGGAAACCCUGUACAGGCACCUAUUGCCUACCGUAGGUUAUGCGGUGAGGUUCAACCCAGACCCAUUUCCUGUAGGAGGAACCAGAAAUUGUCGACCACCAUCAGGUUUUCGAUAGUUGUUUAGCAUUGGCGCCAGACCUGUCAAGUCUCAGAAGGAUCCUAUUUUGAUGCAAGGAAUCCUGAUAUUGAGGAAAAGGCCAUGCCCUUACCAGAAGAGCAAAAGUGAAGGGGUUAUCUCAGAGAAUAUGAGAAGACCGACACCGUCAACGCAAAGGAUGGAGUUCAUGAGUUUUAUUGGAACUGUAACCAUGCUUCUAAGGGUGGUAGCACCCCAUUCCUUGUGUUGAUGAAUGGAUUUUCAAGGAGAACCCCCAAACCUAACAUUCUUUCUAGCCUCUUCGAAUCUCGAGGACGAUAUUCAUUUUAAGGGUGGUAGUUUGUAACAUCCCAAAAUUCUAAAUUCUGGAAUGUUAUGUUAAAUAAUUAAUUAUGAUUGUUUGUUUGUUGUGUGAUUGAUUGUGUGAAAAUGAUUGGAAAUUGAAAACUUUUUGAAAGUAGAAUGAGAGGGAAUAAAAGGACUUUCCCGAAACUUUUCAUCUUGCAUUUUGAUCUUCCUGAAUUCAAAUUCAUUUCAUCAUAAAACCCUAGAGUGAAGAUAAUAUGACUUCUUCCAUUUAAAGAAAUGAAAAAAGGGGUUUGAAAAUGAUUUGAAUUCCAUUUGAAAAAUUUUAAAUUUUGAAACUUUAAGCAACUCAAUGAGUACAUGAGGGAAGAUAAAAUGACUUCUUCAGAUCGAUGGAAGAGAGUUGGAAGUUUCAAAGGAAUAAUUUGAAGUCACUUUGAAGUUAUUUGAAACUCAUUUUUCCAUUUGAAGUUGUUUGAAAUUCCAAAUUUCUAAUCCUCUUGGGAGUUAUUUAGUUUUAAUUCAAAUUAUUUUUCCCCUAAAAAUAAAUAGAUGGGAAUAAGGGUAAAUUGAUUCCCUUCAAUAGAAAAUUAGGAGAAAUAUAUCUGAAAUCAUUUUGCUAUUUUAAAAAUGAUUUUUAUUGAUUUUAAAUGCAAUAGUAGCACUGUUUGAAUUUUAUGAAUUUUUAUGGAAUUUAGUUGAACUUGAAAAAUAAUUCAUCUUAUUGCUACUAUUUUUCUGAGCAUUUUGGUAUAUAAUAUUCCUACGUAAAUUUUUUAGUUAUUUUCCUAUGUUGAAGUUUUUGUUUCUGCAAAAAAAAACAUGCGCCCGCCAGCCGGCCCAGGGCCUUCGGCCCAAGAGCCAGCCAGCGUACCGAGCCGGCCCAGCAGCGCCCCAGGCCGCCCGAGGCCUUACGCCUCGCUCGCGCGCGCCCCUCUUCCCUCGCUCGCUCUCUCCCACUACCGCUGCCAGUGGGGCCCGCAACCCUCCGUCCCUAACCUCCCGCUCCUCCCCUUCAGAUAGGGCACGCGCGUGCUGCCCGCAACUGCCGGCAGCUCCGCUCGGGAUAGAGCUCAUCCGCAGUCUCCGCAGCCUCUUCUUGAGCCUAUAAAUUCCCCCGACUCCCCUCGUUCGAUUCUGCCAUUCCGCAACGAUCCACGCCGCUCACAGCCGCCGCCUUCGUCGUUUGGAUCUUGCCCGCCGGAGCUACCUCGCCGGUCCGUUCCAUCGUCCGUAAGACUUCCUCGACCCCGUUCUUCUUUGUCAAUUGACUCCCCGCGUCGAGGCGCAUCUGAUUGACAAAAAUUUGCCGCCUAGGUCGUACCAGAGACGUCGCCCCGACGCGCCGUGCUCUUGCCGAAGCACCGGAGCUCCGCCGCCACCCUCCGCUCGUCGCUGGCCACCCCACCGCCCGCCGACCCCACCAGCACCCCGCCCACGCCGCGCCUGACCUCCCCGACCCCUUCGUCGCCGCUGAGGACCACCAGAGACGCCGCCCUGUCCGCCGUCCGCCGCCUGACGCCAACGGCACCGCACCUGUUCGCCGUCCUCGCUCGCUAUGAGCCGCUGAUCCUCGCUCAUUUUUUGUUGUUGUUGUUGUAUUAGAUCGGGUAACCGUGGUUUUAUUAAACCGUGCGGUUUAGUAAAAAACCGGUCUCCGGUUGUCUUUUUAUUUAGCCACGGUAGCCGUUUUAUUUAUUCAGUGGCCGUCCGCCGUUUAGCCUGAGCCGCGAACGCUGCUCAGCCACCCGGAAGCCGCCACGUGGCCAGGGACCUAGUCGUGAAUAAAACUUUCAUAGUCAAGUCCCUGAGUUUUCAAUUUAGCCCCUCAACUUCGAAUGGUUGUAUCUUUUUAACCGUAGCUCCAAAUUCGACGAAACCAGUGGCAAGAUGUUCGCCUCGAUUAGUUUUAUCCAGAGAACCAACUUUGAAAACUUUUGGCCAAAUUCAAAUUUGAAAUUUAUUCAGAUUUGAAUUCAAACUUCAACUGGCCAUAUCUCUUAAACCGUAGCUCCGAUUGGUGUGAUUCUUUUUGCAACGUGUCAUCAUAGCCAAACCCUACCACCUGGACCUUGUCACAAUACUUUUCACACAACUAGAAUCUGUCUAUGAUAGUUUUACUAUUAUGCCAUGCAUGCACUUUAGUACACAUCAUAGUUUUGAACCCCAUGUCACAAGUUGUUUUGCACUUAGGAUAUUUCCAUGCUAGUUAACUGUGUUGAAUGUUCAUUUGGUUUUUCUGAGACUUUGUGCUUUGCAUGUUCUUCUUGGUUCUCUGAAACGAUUGUUGAGAGUGACGAAUAGUUCUAUGAAGUAAAUUUCUGAGAGUGGUAUAAUCUUCAUCAACUAUUACCAGGCAAGUUCACAUUUGACCAUUUUUCCAAUUACCUAUGUUUAUAUUAUGCACUUAGUCCUUUUGUGGUAGGAUUGCAUGGUAGGAUUUAUUGUUACCAGAUGGCUAUGCCGUUACCUAGUAGUUCAUUUGAGGUAGGUAUGAUCUAUACAUCCUUGUCACCACCGUGUAAGUUUAUUUUUGCCUCGCUAAAUGUAGACGUGGUUUGGGAAGCGAACAUGGCGAGACAUGAGUGACAAACUAGUAAUCAAGACCAAGACUUGUAAAUGAACUACCUGGGCGGUAUUUGAUUUGAAUGGUGGUGAAGUACAGUGGGAGCAUGCAUGGUUAAUCCAUGGUGGUGCACCACUAGUGGUUGGCCGCUCAGGCUCAAAGAGAUGAAUCGUAUUCUCAUGUCUAGAAGCUUAUGUGUGCAGCCACAAGCCAAUAUGGGCUCUGGCUUAGUUGAGUAGUUAGUGUGACCCCUUCCGGGAUGGGCUAGCAGAUGUAGAAUGAUGUAGGUGUACCGGCCUAUCCAUGGGUUAAGGGGUGACAUUUUUGAAAGAGUAUGUCUCGGUCAUCCUGUUCUCAAACGCCAGGCAGUGCGAGAACUCCAGGGGAGGCGAUCGAGUCUUGUGGGGAAAAGUGCGCAAACCUCUGUAGAGUGUUUUUUUUGAACUUGACAGUGGGAGAGAACUCCCACUGUAUAUUUUCACAUAUCUAUAUAAAUGGGGUGUUUACAUAGACAUACCACUCACACACAUCCAGCUCCACUCUUGGUGGAACCACCAGGGGUGGGGCAACUACACCAUGGUCACUGCUAUACACUUGUCUCUAAGUAUUUAAAGAGGGAAGAAUAAAACACAGUAUGUCUCAGCUAAGUGUGCCACAAUAUGAAAGCAGGGCAGCUCUACGUGUACCCUGAACUCUAUGUUGCAGAAGUCCCAAGUUCUCUUUGAAUCGAUGGAACCAAGAUGCAAUGCUUGGGGUUACACCUCUGAAGUGUUUAUUGUUUCUUUCCUUCCACAAACUCCAGGUAGUAGUGAAAAAUGCUUCAAUGAAGAAAGGAUUGGGCCAGUUGGGUUGUGCGUUUUGCAACGCAUCAAACCUAUUUUGAAAAUCAAUCCAGUGAACACCUAUCUUGGCCCAACACCUUUCGCUGAACUGGCAGGUGAAGAUCAUAUGCUCGAGAGUCUCAUCUGCAUUUUGCCCACAAAGGAGACAUGUGAUGUCAUUCCCAAUGUCAUAGUGUCUUCUUCUCAGCAUGUCACAUGUGUUCAACCUGUCGUGCAGUAGCAACCAUCCAAAUACUUUGAUUUUCAUCAUACAGUUUGAUUUCCAAAGGAGCGGGAAGAUGGGAUGAGCUGUUGCAUCACGGGAGAAGUUGUUAUAGUAGUCUUUUGGCUUGUACCCAGCUGUCCCCCAAGCAUAGAGCCAAACAUCAGAUAUUGUUGUGGAUGGGUGUAUGCGGAAUGCUGCAUGUUGGACAUCUUGCACCUCGUUGAGCGCACGAGCAGACAGCGGUAGGUGAAAGGUUUCAUGCAGUUCAGUGUUGGCCCAGAAGUCAGCGACCGUCAUGUCUUCCUGCAGAGCAAAUGAAAAGGCACGCGGGUGCGAUGUUUGUAGCACAUCAUUUGACCACAAGUCUUUCCAGAGCAGCGUAGUCGAGCCAUCAACUACUUGGACACGAGUGAUCCCUCGGUAGAUGGGCGUUAAUUUGAGAAUGUCUUUCCACCAGAAAGAACCGACUAGAUCAACCGCAUGAGGCACCUGGUUAGCAUACUGAUUAUCCCAAAGCAUAGUAACCCAUGGUACGUCCAGUUUGUUAUAGAACUUGUGGAGAAAUUUUAGCAGGAGGGCUUCGUUGUAGAUUGUAAUGUUGAUCACUCCUAACCCACAUUUACACUUGGGCUUGCACACUAGUUCCCAAGCCGCAAGCGAAUUACAUUUGUCACCUUGGUCGGUUUUCUUUGUCCAGAGACAUCUCCUUCUAAUCUUGUCAAGAAUUUCAAUUAGAUUCGGAGGGAACUUGAGCGUGCACAUGGCAAACACCAGAAGGGAUGUGACCGAUGCAUUGAGCCAGGAGAGGCGGCCCCCAUAGGACAUCAUAGCGAUCGUGGCAGUGAGACGAUGCUCCAUUUUGCAAACUAGAGGCAUGAAUUCUUGAAUGGUUGGUCUUGUAGUGCCAAGUGGCAGGCCAAGGUAGGUGAAAGGCAUUGUACCUAUAGUGCAGCCAAAAUGGCAGCAAGGCUAGAGGUUGCACUUGCGUCCAGGUUGAUUGGUAUGAGCGUCGACUUGUGAAAGUUAAUUUUGAGGCCAAUAGAGGAUGCAUAGUCAGAGAGAAUGUUCUUGACACGGGCAGCCUGUUAUGGGCAAGCAGGCAAGACAAGGAGGGUGUCGUCCGCAUAUUGGAUCACUGGGUAAUCAUUUUGCCCAUUGCAUGGAAAAGGCAGGCUGAUAUCUCCAUGUCGAUAAGCAUCAUUGCCGUGGCUUGAAGUAGUUCAGCUGCCAGGACGAAAAUGAGGGGGGACAGAGGAUCACCUUGCCGCACACCGCAUCGACAAAGGAACUGUCGGCCUGGGACCCCAUUAAGAAGUUUGGACGAGCGACCCGAGGAGAAGAGGCACUUGAUCCAGGAGAUCCACUUGUCAUUGAAACCCAUCUGCUGCAUAAUGCAAAUCAUUGGUUCAUGCGUGAUGGUAUCGAAUGCUUUGGCGAAAUCAAGUUUAAGAAUAAUGAUUGGCCGGCCCAAGUUUUGACAGUGAUAAAGAUAUUGAUAAUCUCAUGCCAGACAAUUCUGUAUAGUAUGCCCUUUAAUGAACCCAUACUGAUUCCGGUGAAUGAGGGUGAGAAUGACAAGUUGAAGUCUGUCUGCUAGCAGUUUGGUAAUCAACUUGAGGCAGCAGUUGAGCAAUGUAAUGAGUCUGAAAUCAUUGACUGUUUCUGGAGAGUUAGUCUUAGGUAUAAGUGUGAUAAGACCAUCAUUGAUACUUGUGACAUCUAACGUACCUUCAUAGAACCGAUCACAUAGGGUGUAAAAGUCAUGUCGAAUGAUGGGCCAGCAGGCUUUCAAAAACGCCCCACUAAAGCCAUCUGGGCCAGGUGCGUGGUCCGGAGGCAUACCUUUGACCACAUUAUCGAUUUCCUCAUGUGAAAAAGGCGUGGUAAGUUGGUCAAGAUUUGUAGCGCAGGGGAUAAUGUUUGGAAGAUCAAAUUUCAUGUCUGAAGGGGAGACCGUACCCAGGCGGUUUUUGUAAGUUUGAAACAAGAGGGCCUCUUUUGCAGGAUGAUUGUCGACCAAUGUGCCAUCCUCAAGCUUGAGUGAGGAGAUAUUGUUUUGUCGAUAACGUUCCCUGGCCACUGCUUGGAAAAAUUUGGAGUUUUCAUCGCCAAACUUGAUCCAACGAAUAGUACAACGCUUCUUCCAAUAAAGUUUUUGAUAUUUGAGCAGUCUCAGCAAGUGUGACUUUAGGAUACGUUUGAAGUUCAUUUCUGGAAUUGAAAGGAUUCGUUUAUUCUGCCAGGACAUGGUUACAGUUCGUGAUGGCCACUAAUAGACGAGAAAUAUUCUUACUCCAGAUUUUGAGAGCGUGUCGAAGAGCUUUGAAUUUUCGGCAAGGGAUUGUGGCAGCAUUUGCGUUCCAAACUGGCCAUUCCCAAACCUCUCUAACUAUGUCCAUAAACCCUGGGUGUAAGGUCCAGUAGGAUUCAAAACGAAAGAGCUUGGAUCGGGGGAUUUUGGUCUCUAUGGUGACAAUGCAAGGGAUGUGAUCAGAAACGGGCUUGCCAAGGGGUUUAACGAGCAUCUUAGGAUAUGUGUUACUCCAAUGCAAGGAUGUGAAGAACCAGUCAAUCUGUUCAAGCAAAGGAUCGGUCUGCAUAUUGCUCCAAGUGUAGGUUCUACCUUUUACCGGAAGCUCAAUCAGUUGCUGCUGACGAAUGAUGUCAUUGAACGUAAUCAUGUCGUGAAUGUUACCCCCAGGUUUAUUAUGAUUGUCUGGAGCUCUCAUGUAGUUAAAGUCGCCCAAAAGUAACCAGUCUUGGUUACGGGGUAUUUGAACAUCGUACAACCAUUGCGUGAAAACAUCCCUGUCUGUACCAGUGCAAGGCCCGUACACGUUAACUAACGUCCAACGUUGAGAGGAUUGCAUGCUAACGAACUCGAUGGCUAGCGCAAAUGGAUCAGAUGAGAGUACUGAACCAGAGAAAACCGAGCUUUUCCAGAUUGUAAGUAACCCCCAGAGGCGCCGCGCGAAGGGACAAAAGCAAAACGAUCAAAUUGUCUAGGAUAGCAAGUUUUAAUAGAAGCAAAAGUAACCUCAGGCAUCUUAGUCUCCUGAAGACAAGUGAUAGCAAAACCACUGGUAGAGAUAGCAUUAUUCAGAGCCAGUCGCUUCUUCUCAGAAUUGAGCCCACGGAUAUUCCAUGAGAGCACAUUCCAGCAGCUCAACGACGUCAUAUAGAACUCCAAUAUUAAGCAGAGGUGUGAGAGAGAUCCUCUCCCUGGUCAUCACUGUCAAUCAAAGAGGCAGAAUAUUCGGGCACGACAGCAGUUUCAGCAAGCAGGGCUUCUUCAGAAAGUUCAGUAGCAGGUAUAGCACAUCUGUUAACUCCAAUGGAUUGUAGAGUAACUAUAGGAGUUGGGGGCGGGACCUCACCAGCAGAAGUAGCAGCAGAUGCUGAUGUGCCAAUAGACGGGAUGACACAGGGCUUAACUUUGGAAUUGUUCUUGCGACUGUCAGAGAGGGGAGGAACCUUGACCGCAUCAUACGUGUUGGAGCGGAGACUGCGACGCACUUCAGUUGUGGAGAUAGGGGCAGCAGCCCUGGUCCUACGGGGGCGCGGGCCAGUGGUGGCCAUAGAAGCAGUUGCCUCUGAGAUCACAGAAGGUUCUGAAGGUGGAAUGUGCACAACUUGUUCUGUGUCCAUUGGGGCGUCUUAAGUGUUGGGCGGCAUGGCGGGCUCAAUGGCGUUUUCCACACUAGCAUGUUCAGAUAGGUCCUCAAUGAUCACAGCGGAGGCAGCCAAAGCAGAAGUAGAGCUUGAUUGCUAGGAAAAGGUCAGACUAGUAGAAUCCUGUGUGAUCAAGACAGACAACUGGACCUGGUUUGUUCUCAGACCAAACCCCUCUCUCCAAGGUCCAAAAGUUGCAAGCAUUGGGCUAACAGCUUGGAAGAUGAAUGUGUUAAGAUUCAGGCGUGGGAUUGGGUCAUUCAGCAGCCUGGAAAGGAUCUCAUCUCCUUGAGCAGAUAAACCAAAUCUGACACCUUGAUCAUUGAUCUCCAGUGUGAUGUUAAGAGAUUCAAAGCUUGCACUGUCAGACAGCUGUAUAGCUGGAUCAGCCGGGAUGAGAAUGUCAGACUGGGUCGAGCUUGAACUGUCAGACUGGGUGAUCGAAUCAUUCCAAGCUUGGAGAGCAUUAUCAGUGACAUUGUUUUCAGGGACUAACCCAUGUUGCACAGUCAGACCCUGCGCAGCAAGCCAGGCUUGGUAGUUCACCAAAUGGAGCGGCAUUUGCGGGAGUGGAGGAGCAGCGGGCGCCUCCCAAGUGCCCCAUCCAGUGUUGUCAUCCACUUGUUGAGCCUCAUUGUUGCCAGCUGCGGGUGCACCAUUCUGAAUGAGCCAAUUGUGAACUUGCUGCUGAUAUAACUGUUCUGCAGUGAGUUCAGGGCCAAACUGUGGAUGUGGGUUGCCAUCGGGGGGUGGCAUUUCCUCAGGUGCAGCAGGUACAUCAGGGAGGAGGCCAUUCCAGUCGUUGCUGCGACGGAUGGUCACUACUACUGUCCAACUGUCGUGCGCACCACCCAGCUGCCAUACCACAAAGCUCUUGGGGAUGAGGCGCAGACUAAGUACUCUGACUUUUAGAAGGAUGAAUCUGCGGUCCUGACGCGGAUUAUACCAGGAAACUAAGGAACCAUAUCCACCCAAGGCCUUAGUGAUGUAAUAGUCCAUUUGGUAGUCAUACGGAAAGCCGAAGAACAUAAUCCAAAUCUCAGGCCCAAACGGUGCAGCUCUACGAUUAAGAGCCGCAUUGUGCGAAACGAAGGUGAUCAACAGAUCUUCAUCUUCAAGCUCAAGCGGUGUGUUGACAACAUUAUCUCUCAUAAAGGAAUCCACAAAACCGAAAAUCCCAACACCAAGGGGGUGAUCACUGACCUCUGUAGUAAAAAGCUGUGAUUCUUGAAACAGAGUUGUGAUCCGAUGGCGGACGGUGGCCCGGCGAUGCAGGGGCACAUACUCACUGGCUUCUGCAAUGGCCAGGAACUCAUGGCUGAGUGGAGCAAUCGAGCCAACGACCAUGCCGCUGUGCACAAGAUGAUCGGCCGGCCCUGGCUCACCCGCAAAACCCGGCGGGAGGAAAGGCACAGGGUUUAGUGGGUAGUUCGCCAUUGUGGUGGAAGGGAUCAGAGGGGAGGACGGUGGUGCAGUGAUGGGAUGUAACUGCAAUGGCGCAAGCUGCAGCAAAGCGUCAGACUGUGGCGAUGGGACUGGACGGGAUGUGGCCCGUUGGGUUCUCGAGGAGGAAGCUGAAGCGUGAAUGGGGGUAGGAGGCAAAGUUGCCUUUGCAACCUCUGUAGAGAGUUAAAACCUAAUCGAUUAGCCGUGUCCCCGGUUACAGACAACUUGAGCAUCUAGUAGUGGAAAUGAUGGGAGAUCUCAUCACUCUUAAUUAAACAGUUGGGUUUUAAAUGAAACAUUGGGAAUGGAUUGAGUUGUGUUUGCCAACUCAUACUAUGCUAUACUGUAGUGAUAGACUAAUAUCUUUUAUUCUAGGGAAAAACUAGCUUUAUGCAAAAACUAAACUUAGAGCUUUCCACCAGCCAAAUUGCAUGUACAAAUAGGUUCAUUAUUCUUAUGAUGUGACUUGCCAGUACAUUCAAUGUACUGACCUAUAGGGCUGCAACGUCUUAUGUUGCAGGAAUUUCUACGACGAGUAAGAAUUAUGUUGUAGGGUUAUGGUCUACACUCAACUUGCCGUUGGCGUUGAUGGGACUCCACACCCGUUCGAUUGUUUCCACUGAGAUUUAUGAGGUAUAUAUCAGUUUUGCAUUAUUUAUACAUUUGAUUGAACUUUGAUAUAUACAUUGAUGUACUGUGUGUGCCAGCAUAUCGAUCCAGGGAUGGCCCGGAUACACAGAGGCUUGACAGUUUGAGCUCGGGUCGCUACAGAGAUGGUAUCAGAGCACAUGUUGACUAUAGGACGUGACCCUAGAAACUGGAAAGCCCUUAGGAAAAGAUUUCUCUAAAAGUUUAUUUUCAAAAAGAUCCUUUACCUCUCUUCUUUUCUGAGCUUUAUCAAAUCUUUCCUUUUACCCCAAAUAGGUAGGCAAUAUCCCUUUUCCCUUUCACCACGCGGAGGAUCAACUGAUGAGACCACUCCAAGAAGGGCAAGAUAUCGGCCAACUGAUGGCCACUUCAAAGUAAAGAGGAUUUCAUCAUGCAUUAGAACAGUUAAUGCUACGACAGUCGAAGACUCGAAGAAUUUGAAGACACUGAAGAAUUCCAAGAUUUAUAUGACCUUUAGAAGACCAAACCCUUGUUGUGUACUCACGUUAGAUGCGAUGAUUUGUGAGCUGUCAUAUUUGGUGUGUGUUUUCCGAUGCAAUAAAUAAAACUUAUUUUCAAAACUAUAUUGUUUGUAUUUUGUGUAUCUUUCUCUAUCCCUCUUAUCUCAUCCCAAAACCCUUGGACCCAAUAGAUGAUGAAUGAAGAUGGACUUGUAUUCUCUGGACCGAUCACUCGGUUAGAGGAAGAGCUAUGGAUUCAAAACAUGGAGAGUCACUUCGAGAGCAAUUUGGUUGCAAGGAAGUAUGAGGUUCAAUAUGCUCUUUAAUACUUUACAAAAAGUGCUACAACAUGGUGGAAAAUGCAUCAAGCCAUACAAGGAUGUAAUGGAGCAAAAACUUGGGAGGAAUUGAAGAAGACUCUAUUGGGAUCCCGUCUUAUCCGGAAGCACGGUGAUAAACUGAUGAAGAAACCUUGUGCCUGCAAGAUAUGUGGAGAAAUAGGACACACCCAUGAAGAACACAAGGAUGGAUGCCCUCAUUAUGAAGGAAAUCACCCAGCAGAAGAGUGCCCAACUAGGCAGGUUACUUGUUUCUUGUGUGAAGGAACUACGCACUACCCUGCCCAGUGUCAUAUUUACCCCAGGGUACAAGAAAUUACCAAGAAGAAGUGGGGUUUGAUCGACAAGAGAUAGAAGAAUUGAUCGGAAUGAAGAAGUCGAGGAAGAGAAAGAGCAUGUAUCCCCAGAACAACCCAGUUUCUACAGAAAAGGACCUGAGUCAUAUCACUUGUUACAGCUGCAAGGAUUUAGCUCAUUAUUCUAGCAAAUGCCCACCAAGGAAGCCAAGAACCCAAGGAGCCAAGAUAACCACCAGGAACCCCUGGAUUUGUCUGACGCCAUUUGUUUACGCUGCAAAGGAGUAGGACAUUUUGUCAGAGAAUGUUCAGACCCGAGGAAAGCUUGAGCAGAGUAGUUGAGAUCUUGAUAUUGGAAUAAAGCAUGUAAUAAAUGUGGAACGCACUUUUAUUUUCGUGGGGGGUGUUGAUACGUCUCCAACGUAUCUAUAAUUUUUGAUUGCUCCAUGCUAUAUUAUCUACUGUUUUGGACUAUAUUGGGCUUUAUUUUCCACUUUUAUAUUAUUUUUGGGACUAACCUAUUAACCGGAGGCCCAGCCCAGAAUUACUGUUUUUUUGCCUAUUUCAGUGUUUUGGAUAAACGGAAUAUCAAACGGAGUCCAAACGGAAUAAAAUCUUCGGGAACGUGAUUUUCUCACCGAACGUGAUCCAUGAGACUUGGACCUUGCUCUAAGGAACAAAAGAGGCGGUCACGAGGGUGGGGGGUGCCCCCCCUAGGGCGCGCCCCCUGCCUCGUGGGCCCCUCGUUGCUCCUUCGGCGUACUUCUUCCUCCUAUAUAUACACAUGUACCCCCAAACGAUCAGAAGAGGAGCCAAAAACCUAAUUCCACCGCCGCAACUUUCUGUAUCAGAAGAGAUCCCAUCUUGGGGCCUGUUCCGGAGCUCUGCCAGAAGAGGGCCGUCAUCACGGAGGGCUUCUACAUCAUCCUAGCCCCUCUGAUGAAGUGUGAGUUGUUUACCUCAGACCUUCGGGUCCAUAGUUAGUAGCUAGAUGGCUUCUUCUCUCUCUUUGAAUCUCAAUACAAAGUUCUCCCCCUCUCUUGUGGAGAUCUAUUCGAUGUAAUCUUCUUUUUGCGGUGUGUUUGUUGAGACCGAUGAAUUGUGGGUUUAUGAUCAAGUCUAUCUAUGAAUAAUAUUUGAAUCUUCUCUGAAUUCUUUUAUGUAUGAUUGGUUAUCUAUGCAACUCUCUUCGAAUUGUCCGUUUGGUUUGGCCAACUAGAUUGGUAGUUCUUGCCAUGGGAGAACUGCUUAGCUUUGGGUUCGAUCUUGUGGUGUCCUUACCUAGUGACAGAAGGGGCAGCAAGGCACGUAUUGUAUCGUUGCCAUCGAGGAUAAAAAGAUGGGGUUUAUUUCAUAUUGCAUGAAUUUAUCUCUCUACAUCAUGUCAUCUUGCUUAAGGCGUUACUCUGUUUUUAACUUAAUACUCUAGAUGCAUGCUGGAUAGCGGUCGAUGAGUGGAGUAAUAGUAGUAGAUGCAGAAUCGUUUCGAUCUACAUGUCACGGACGUGAUGCCUAUAUACAUGAUCAUGCCUAGAUAUUCUCAUAACUAUGCUCAAUUCUGUCAAUUGCUCAAUAGUAAUUUGUUCACCCACCGUAGAAUACUUAUGCUCUUGAGAGAAGCCACUAGUGAAACCUAUGGCCCCCGGGUCUAUUCUCAUCAUAUCAAUCUCCAUCACUUUAAAUCUUGCUUUGUUUUUACUUUGCUUUUACUUUUUAAUUUGCAUCUUUAUACCAAAAAUACCAAAAAUAUUAUAUCUAUCAGAUCUCAUUCUCGUAAGUGACCGUGAAGGGCUUGACAACCCCUAAUCGCGUUGGUUGCGAGUAGCUAUCGCUUUGUGCAGGUACGAGGGACUUGAGCGUGGGCUCCUACUGGAUUGAUACCUUGGUUCUCAAAAACUGAGGGAAAUACUUACGCUACUGUGCUGCAUCAUCCCUUCGUCUUCGGGGAAAACCAACGCUAGCUCAAGAUGUAGCAGGUGUUGAGUUGAGUUACCGAAUGGAAAUUGUAAUAGCUCAUGAAGCAAUAAAAAUUGAGGUGUUUGGAAUCUCAUAUGAAAUGUUAUGAGUUGUUUGUUGAUUGUGAGUGCCUCUCUCACUAUGUCACCCAGACAUAAACCUUGAACCCAUGGACAAGCUGACCCCAAAACCUUCACUAAAAAAACGACAUUUCACCCAAGGAAAUACAUGCAUUAUCCUAAGUACCCCUUCUAUCUUAUACCUGCAGAUGGCAACCCUUUACGAGUCUUUUCUCAAGGGCCCAGAAACGAUCAUGACCCUAACUAGUGAUCAGGAUUACCCAAAGAUCCUCAAGGACAUGAUGAAGCAUAUUCAUCUUGAAGGAGAUGCAGUCUACAAGGGUUAUCCUUUCAUGGAGAAUGGAGUUGAACUUUGGUACGUGGAGGUACACCUCCACCGUGUGAAGGGAGUUUUCCCAAAGAGUAUGGGGCAAUACUUUUUCAUUUCUCGAGUACCCCGAGCAACAUUCUUCGACUCUGUUCGUGAAACUGCUAUGGAAGCCAUACGUCAGAUUGGAGAAAUACUUGAAGCCAGACUUCGUUAUACUCAGGAAUACCCGAGGGAGGUGCAUGCAGAGAUGAUGGAGAUGAAGCUCAUGGCCACCAUGAUGAAGCAAAAGGUCGAUGAUUUCAAGGACCACAUUGUACAAUUCCAGUGGGACUAAAUUAUCUUCAAGAAGGGCAAAUGAAUAAAGAUGGAAGUAAUGCUUGACCAUAGCAAACUAUGUGGAUGGCAGCUUUUUGUAAUAGAGUACUUUUGAAAUUUGAGUUUUGAGUAGUGGUUAAGGAUGUAAUAAAGGAUUUGAUAUGAAGAGAAUUAUGGAUGAACCAGUGCAUUUUUUGGCGAUACCUGUCUGUGCGAACACUUGACCAAUGGAAAAGGAAAUGUAUGCCAUAGAGUGAAGUUUGGACAAAUGAGUUGGAGUUUGGUUUUAGUUAUGAUGGUUACCCCAAGAGUAUGAAGGAAUGAAGUACUAUUGGAUUUAAAGGAGAUGUAAUGUUGGAAUAUGGAACAAUAGUAACUCCAAGGAUGAGUUAAAGAUAUACAAGUGUUGAAGUGGGCCAUAACCCACAGGACCCAGGAUUUGAUAAGGAAACAAGCACAAUCUUGUUGAAGAAAAUAAUUCUGAAAGAAGCCAUGAUUUCAUCAGCAUACGUUUCAUAGGAGGUUACAUAAACCCAGGAGUUGUGAAUAAACGAUAGAGGUUUUCUUUGGCUUGCAGAACCAAUGGAUUUAUCCGAACCCAGUUCGUGGAGAAGAGAAGUUCUGCAAUGCUUGUGAGGAUGCCCAAGGGCUAGAAUGCGUGAUUCACUAUCUGCGUAUGUGGUAAUGAUUCAAGUACGACAUGGAUUGGCCCCCAUACCGGAGACUUCUAUCAUGAGCUAUCAUAUGAUUGAUAGAAAAUCAGAGAGCCUUAAAACCCUAGAAGAGUGUCGACACGACAAGCCAAAAGCCUUAGAAUGGCAGGAUGAUGGAAACCCUGUACAAGCACCUAUUGCCAACCGUAGGUUAUGCGGUGAGGUUCAACCCAGACCCAUUUCCUGUAGGAGGAACCAGAAAUUGUCGACCACCAUGAGGUUUUCGAUAGUUGUUUAGCAUUGGCGCCAGACCUGUCAAGUCUCAGAAGGAUCCUAUUUUGAUGCAAGGAAUCCUGAUAUUGAUGAAAAGGCCAUGCCCUUACCAGAAGAGCAAAAGUGAAGGGGUUAUCUCAGAGAAUAUGAGAAGACCGACACCGUCAACGCAAAGGAUGGAGUUCAUGAGUUUUAUUGGAACUGUAACCAUGCUUCUAAGGGUGGUAGCACCCCAUUUCUUGUGUUGAUGAAUGGAUUUUCAAGGAGAACCCCCAAACCUAACAUUCUCUCUAGCCUCUUCGAAUCUCGAGGACGAUAUUCAUUUUAAGGGUGGUAGUUUGUAACAUCCCAAAAUUCUAAAAUUUGGAAUGUUAUGUUAAAUAAUUAAUUAUGAUUGUUUGUUUGUUGUGUGAUUGAUUGUGUGAAAAUGAUUGGAAAUUGAAAACUUUUUGAAAGUGGAAAGAGAGGGAAUAAAAGGACUUUCCCGAAACUUUUCAUCUUGCAUUUUGAUCUUCCUGAAUUCAAAUUCAUUUCAUCAUAAAACCCUAGAGUGAAGAUAAUAUAACUUCUUCCAUUUAAAGAAAUGAAAAAAGGGGUUUGAAAAUGAUUUGAAUUCCAUUUGAAAAAUUUUAAAUUUAGAAACUUUAAGCAACUCAAUGAGUACAUGAGGGAAGAUAAAAUGACUUCUUCAGAUCGAUGGAAGAGAGUUGGAAGUUUCAAAGGAAUAAUUUGAAGUCACUUUGAAGUUAUUUAAAACUCAUUUUUCCAUUUGAAGUUGUUUGAAAUUCCAAAUUUCUAAUCCUCUUGGGAGUUAUUUAGUUUUAAUUCAAAUUAUUUUUCCCCUAAAAAUAAAUAGAUGGGAAUAAGGGUAAAUUGAUUCCCUUCAAUAGAAAAUUAGGAGAAAUAUAUCUGAAAUCAUUUUCCUAUUUUAAAAAUGAUUUUUAUUGAUUUUAAAUGCAAUAGUAGCACUGUUUGAAUUUUAUGAAUUUUUAUGGAAUUUCGUUGAACUUGAAAAAUAAUUCAUCUUAUUGCUGCUAUUUUUCUGAGCAUUUUGGUAUAUAAUAUUCCUACAUAAUUUUUUUAGUUAUUUUCCUAUGUUGAAGUUUUUGUUUCUACAAAAAAAAACAUGCGCCCGCCAGCCGGCCCAGGGCCUUCGGCCCAAGAGCCAGCCAGCAUACCGAGCCGGCCCAGCAGCGCCCCAGGCCGCCCGAGGCCUUACGCCUCGCUCGCCCGCGCCCCUCUUCCCUCGCUCGCUCUCUCCCACUGCCGCUGCCAGUGGGGCCCGCAACCCUCCGUCCCUAACCUCCCGCUCCUCCCAUUCAGAUAGGGCACGCGCGUGCUGCCCGCAACUGCCGGCAGCUCCGCUCGGGAUAGAGCUCAUCCGCAGUCUCCGCAGCCUCUUCUUGCACCUAUAAAUUCCCCCGACUCCCCUCGUUCGAUUCUGCAAUUCCGCAACGAUCCACGCCGCUCACAGCCGCCGCCUUCGUCGUUUGGAUCUUGCCCGCCGGAGCUACCUUGCCGGUCCGUUCCAUCGUCCGUAAGACUUCCUCGACCCCGUUCUUCUUUGUCAAUUGACUCCCCGCGUCGAGGCGCAUCUGAUUGACAAAAAUUUGCCGCCUAGGUCGUACCAGAGACGUCGCCCCGACGCGCCGUGCUCUUGCCGAAGCACCGGAGCUCCGCCGCCACCCUCCGCUCGUCGCUGGCCACCCCACCGCCCGCCGACCCCACCAGCACGCCGCCCACGCCGCGCCUGACCUCCCCGACCCCUUCGUCGCCGCUGAGGACCACCAGAGACGCCGCCCUGUCCGCCGUCCGCCGCCUGACGCCAGCGGCACCGCACCUGUUCGCCGUCCUCGCUCGCUAUGAGCCGCUGAUCCUCGCUCAUUUUUUGUUGUUGUUGUUGUAUUAGAUCGGGUAACCGUGGUUUUAUUAAACCGUGCGGUUUAGUAAAAAACCGGUCUCCGGUUGUCUUUUUAUUUAGCCACGGUAGCCGUUUUAUUUAUUCAGUGGCCGUCCGCCGUUUAGCCUGAGCCGCGAACGCUGCUCAGCCACCCGGAAGCCGCCACGUGGCCAGGGACCUAGUCGUGAAUAAAACUUUCAUAGUUAAGUCCCUGAGUUUCCAAUUUAGCCCCUAAACUUCGAAUGGUUGUAUCUUUUUAACCGUAGCUCCAAAUUCGACGAAACCAGUGGCAAGAUGUUCGUCUUGAUUAGUUUUAUCCAGAGAACCAACUUUGAAAACUUUUGGCCAAAUUCAAAUUUGAACUUUAUUCAGAUUUGAAUUCAAACUUCAACUGGCCAUAUCUCUUAAACCGUAGCUCCGAUUGGUGUGAUUCUUUUUGCAACGUGUCAUCAUAGCCAAACCCUACCACCUGGACCUUGUCACAAUACUUUUCACACAACUAGAAUCUGUCUAUGAUAGUUUUACUAUUAUGCCAUGCAUGCACUUUAGUACACAUCAUAGUUUUGAACCCCAUGUCACAAGUUGUUUUGCACUUAGGAUAUUUCCAUGCUAGUUAACUGUGUUGAAUGUUCAUUUGGUUUUUCUGAGACUUUGUGCUUUGCAUGUUCUUCUUGGUUCUCUGAAAUGAUUGCUGAGAGUGACGAAUAGUUCUAUGAAGUAAAUUUCUGAGAGUGGUAUAAUCUUCAUCAACUAUUACCAGGCAAGUUCACAUUUGACCAUUUUUCCAAUUACCUAUGUUUAUAUUAUGCACUUAGUCCUUUUGUGGUAGGAUUGCAUGGUAGGAUUUAUUGUUACCAGAUGGCUAUGCCGUUACCUAGUAGUUCAUUUGAGGUAGGUAUGAUCUAUACAUCCUUGUCACCACCGUGUAAGUUUAUUUUUGCCUCGCUAAAUGUAGACGUGGUUUGGGAAGCGAACAUGGCGAGACAUGAGUGACAAAGUAGUAAUCAAGAUCAAGACUUGUAAAUGAACUACCUGGGCGGUAUUUGGUUUGAAUGGUGGCGAAGUACAGUGGGAGCAUGCAUGGUUAAUCCAUGGUGGUGCACCACUAGUGGUUGGCCGCUCAGGCUCAAAGAGAUGAAUCGUAUUCUCAUGUCUAGAAGCUUAUGUGUGCAGCCACAAGCCAAUAUGGGCUCUGGCUUAGUUGAGUAGUUAGUGUGACCCCUUCCGGGAUGGGCUAGCAGAUGUAGAAUGAUGUAGGUGUACCGGCCUAUCCCUGGGUUAAGGGGGAACAUUUUAGAAAGACUAUGUCUCGGUCAUCCUGUUCUCAAACGCCAGGCAGUGCGAGAACUCCAGGGGAGGCGAUCGAGUCUUGUGGGGAAAAGUGCGCAAACCUCUGCAGAGUGUUAAAAUCUAAUCGAUUAGCCGUGUCACCGGUUACGGACAACUUGAGAAUCUAGUAGUGGAAAUGCUGGGAGAUCUCAUCACUCUUAAUUAAACAGUUGGGUUUUAAAUGAAACUUUGGGAAUGGAUUGAGUUGGGUUUGCCAACUCAUCCUAUGCUAUACUAUAGUGAUAGACUAAUAUCUUUUAUUCUAGGGAAAAACUAGCUUUAUGCAAAAACUAAACUUAGGGCUUUCCACCAGCCAAAUUGCAUGUACAAAUAGGUUCAUUAUUCUUAUGAUGUGAAUUACCAGUACAUUCAAUGUACUGACCUACAGGGCUGCAACGUCUUAUGUUGCAGGAAUUUCUAAGACGAGUAAGAAUUACGUGGUAGGGUUACGGUCUACACUCAACUUGCCAUUGGCGUUGAUGGGACUCUGCGCCCAUUCGAUUGUUUCCCUGAGAUUUAUGAGGUAUAUAUCAGUUUUACGUUAUUUAUACAUGUGAUUGAACUUUGAUAUAUACAUUGAUGUACUGUGUGUGCCAGCAUACCGAUCCAGGGAUGGCACGGAUACACAGAGGCUUGACCGUUUGAGGUCGGGUUGCUACAGCAAAUCAGCUAGAUCUUUCAAGGCAAACUCUGAGAUCAAAUCAUGCAGAAUGGCAUUAGUAGCACUUUGUGAUGAACUUGCAACUAUGAUGCAUCCACAUAUAUGAGAACAAAGAUAACUACUUUUCCCUUGUUAUAAAUGAACAAAGAUGUAUCAGCUUGGAAGCACUAAAACCAAGACAUUUCAAUUGAGAGCUCAACCUGGAGUACCAUGCUUUAGGUGCUUGUUUCAAGCUAUAGAGUGCUUUGUCAAGCUUGCACACAUAAUGUGGUGUUUUCUUACUCUCAUAUCCUGGUGGUUGUCUCAUGAAUACCUCCUCUUCCAGAACACCAUGUAAAAACGCAUUCUGUACAUCUAGCUAUCUCAAGCUCGAUCCCUUGGAUACAGCACUAGCUAACACAAAUCUUAUAGUUGCAGCUUUUACAACCGGACUGAAGGUAUCCUCAUAGUCUAUGCCAUAGCGUUGUUUAAAGCCCUUUGCAACUAGACGUGCCUUAUAUCUGUCAAUGGAGCCAUCUGCUUUCUUUUUAAUUCUAUACACCCACUUGCAAUCAAUAAUAUUUUUACCUCUCUUAUCAGGCACAAGAUGCCAAGUUUUGUUCCUCAUAAGUGCAGAAUAUUCCUCAUCCAUUGCUUUCUUCCAUUUAGGGUCACCAAGUGCAUCAUUCAGUGUCAUUGCUUCCCCUGAAAUACAUAGCAUGCCAUACCGUAUAGUACCAUCAGUUUGUAUUUUGGGAUUAUGGAUACCUUUUUGUAACCUGGUCAUAACUCGCAAGGGAGCUUCUUGUUGCAUGUGUACAGGAACAAGAUCCAUUGGCGCAGAAGAUCCACCUCUUGCUACUGAAUCUGCUGGUGAUGCAGAAGAUCCAUCGGACACUGGCGCAGAAGAUCCACUGGACCUUGGUGUGGCCCCCCUGCCACUGGACGCCCAGGAAACCACAUGGCUUCCAGGCAUAGACGAUCCGCUGCCAGGUUGCAUGUGCGCGGGACGCGAGGAGGAGCCGACCGCGCGACUGGUCCCACUGGGCCCACUAUCGGGUGACGCGUCGGCGUGGGAGUGGCCCUCCCAGGAAUCUGGGCCGCUGCCACCUUGUACGCGAUCCAAGAAAGAUCUGUGCGCACGAUCCGAGGCCUGCAAGAGCGCAGGAGUACCAAGGAAUUCAACUGAUAUGAUUACUCUACUUAUUGAUGUGCAAUAAUGUAAUAUGACUAUUAAGAAGCAUUCUAACUGUGGAGGUGGUUUCACACUUCUUACUACAACAAAGGUGAUUGAAGGAUUCCUCGGCAGAAACUAGAACGCACACCUUCAAUAAUUGACGAGCUAAUUGGUUGUUGAACUUCAUGUUGAAGAUAUCUCAUGUAGGCCCAGGCCGGCGCAUAUAGUUAGUUGAGGAGUUGGUUAGCUUAGAGAUAGACUAUCAUCUAAUUAAACUUUUGUAUCUCUAUCUCCUAAUCUCUUGUACUCCAAGUUAUGUAUGCGUACAUGGGAUAAGCCUCAUCUCAAUCAAUAAAUACCCGCGGCCCUCUCUCGUGGAGGGUAGAACGCUUCCGAUAUAUUUCCUAUAUGGUCAUCAGAGCUUUCUCUUCUCGUCCAAAAACCAGAAAACCUAGAUUGCCAUCCUUCCCACCAUGUCAUCCUCCUCCAACCCCCCGACUCUCUCUGGUCUUGGUUACCAAAUCAGUGAGAAGCUCACCGCUGAGAACUACCUGCUGUGGAAGGCACAUAUCCUCCAGCACUUCCUUGGUGCCGGGCUCUAUGGCUAUCUAGACGACAACAUCGUCGAACCAGAGAAGCUCAUGGUCGCGAAGGACAAGGAUGGAAAGGAUCAAGCGGUCCCCAAUCCGGCGCAUGAUUCUUGGGUGCGGCAGGACCAACAGGUCCUUGGCCACAUCAUCAACAAUCUCUCGAUGGAGGUGCUGGUCUCGGUCGUCUCCAUUGGCGUGAGCUCUCUGGACAUCGAUGCGUAACAUGUUUGCUUCACAAUCUCAUUACCGCAUUAAUAAUAUCCAGAUUUCCCUGUCCAGUGCCUAAAAGGGCAAUCAGCGUCGGCAUACUUUGCUCGGAUGCGCAGAUAUGCUGAUGAACUUGCUGCUACCGGGAGACCUCUGCAAGAGGAUGAGCUCACCUCCUUCCUCCUGGCUGGGCUGGACCUCGACUACAACCCCCUUAUCUCAGCCCUCGACGACCGGACGGAUCCUAUCACCAUCGAUGACUUAUACUCACAGGUCUACAACUUUGAUCAGCGGGUGUCGCUGCUCAUGGGAGGCGUGGGCUUCAAGUCCUCUGCAAACUCUGCCCAGCAUGGUGGGCCACCUCCAUCUCGAGGCUUUGGAAAGCCGAGGGAUCAGAAGAAGCAAGGUGGUGGCGGCGGCUACAAGAAGAAACAAGGUGGCGGUGGGCAUCCCUACUACAUCAACACCAAGGGAGCUCGCUCUGGUGCCCCUGGAGGGCCAGGAGGUCUAGGAGGCCUCGAUGGUCCUCCACCCGCCAACAACCACAAGGGGAACGACCCCAUCCAGUGCCAGAUAUGCAUCAAGUUCGGGCACAGCACCAAGGACUGCUGGUAUCAUUUUGAUGAUGAUGCCCUUGAAUAAAAAGUUGUUGCUGCCACCCAGUAUGGGGUGGAUACAAAGUGGUAUGUUGACAGCGAUGCAACCGGUCAUCUCAUCGGCGAACUAGAGAAGUUGACAGUCCGCGACAAGUAUCGUGGGCAGGGUGAAAUCCAUGGCGCAAACAGAUCAGGUAUGAGGAUAGAUCAUGUUGGUCAUUCAGUUUUUCAAACCCCUAACCGUCCCAUCCAUCUUAAAAGAAUUUUACAUUAUCCUCAUGCCCAAACCAGUCUUCUUUCUGUAAAUCAUAUUGCCUUGGAAAAUCAAGUAUUUCUUGAAUUUCACCCCUUCUACUUUUCGAUCAAGGACCAGGCAACGAGGAGAAUCCUCUACAUAUGUAGAUGCAUUGGUGGGCUCUAUCCAUUGAUUCCUCGCUUUAGGAGUUCAAAUAAACAAGUUCUUGGUCUCACCAAAUUAUCUUCGGCAAGGUGGCACGAUCGAUUUGGGCAUCCUUCUUUUGCUAUAGUUCAACGAGUGCUUAGGAAAAAUAAGCUCCCUUUUGUUGGUGAGCCUAGUAGUGAAAAAAAUUGUGAUUCAUGUCAACGAGAAAAAAGUCAUCAACACCCUUCCCCUGUGUCAACUAGCGUUUCUUCCAAACCAUUAGAACUAUUUUUUUUCUGAUGUAUGGGGCAAGCAGCUCUUUCUGUUGGGAGACACAAGUAUUAUGUAAACUUUAUUGAUGAUUAUAGUAAGCAUACUUGGAUCUACCUUAUCAAGCAUAAAUCUGAUGUGUUUCAAGUAUUCCAAAAUUUCCAAGCACUUGUUGAACGAAAAUUCUCUAGCAAAAUAAUCUCUGUCCAAUCGGACUGGGGUGGCGAGUAUGAAAAAUUAAACUCGUUCUUUCAAAAACUGGGAAUUUCCCAUCAUGUCUCUUGUCCCCAUGCGCACCAACAGAAUGGUUCUGCAGAACGCAAGCAUAGACAUAUUGUCAAAGUUGGUCUUUCUCCUUGCUAAUGCAUCCAUGCCAUCGAAGUUUUGGGAUGAAGCAUUCAUCACUGCUACACAUCUCAUUAAUAUGUUGCUAAGCAGGGUUAUCAAUUUUGAAACACCCACCGUGUUGGGGAACGCAGUAUUUAAAAAAAAAUUCCUACGAUCACGCAAGAUUUAUCUAGGAGAUGCAUAGCAAGGAGAGGGGAGAGUGUGUCCACGUAUCCUCGUAGACCGAAAGCGGAGGCAUUUAGUAAUGCGGUUGAUGUAGUCGAACGUCUUUGCGAUCCAACCGAUCAAGUACCAAACGCACAGCACCUCCGCGAUCUGCACACGUUCAGCUCGGUGACGUCCCUCGUACUCUUGAUCCAGUUGAGGCCGAGGGUGAGUUGCGUCAGCAUGAUGGUGUGUUGAUGGUUAUGAUGAAGUUACCAAUGCAAGGAUUCGCCUAAGCACUACGACAAUAUGACCGAGGUGGAAAACUGUGGAGGGGGGCACCGCAACGGUUAAAGAUCAACUCUUGUGUCUAUGAGGUGUCCCCCUCCCCCAUAUAUAAAGGAGGGGAGGAGGAGGAGGGCCGGCCUCAAGGGGCGCUCCCAAGGGGGGGAUUCCUACUCCUAGUAGGAGUAGGUUUCCCCUUUCCUAGUCCAAGUAGGAGAAGAAGGAAGGAGAGGAAGAAGAGAAGGAAAGGGGGCCCGCCCCCCUUAGCCCUAGUCCAAUUCGGUUUGGGCUACGGGAGGCGCGCGCCACCUCUUGGCCUACCUCCUCUCUUCCACCACUAGGCCCAUAAGGCCCAAUAACUUCCCGACGGGGGUUUCGGUAACCCCCAGUACUCCGAAACUUAUCCGAAAUGACCCGAACCAUCCCAGUGUCCAAAUGUAACCUUCCAAUAUAUGAAUCUUUAUGUCUCGACAAUUUCGAGACUCCUCGUCAUGUCCAUCAUCUCAUCCGGGAUUCCUAAAAACCUUCGGUACAUCAAAUCACAUAACUCAUAAUACAUAUCAUCAUCGAACGUUAAGCAUACGGACCCUGCGGGUUCGAGAACUAUGUAGACAUGACCGAGACUCAUCUCCGAUCAAUAACCAAUAGCGGAACCUAGUUGCUCAUAUUGGUUCCUACAUAUUCUACGAAGAUCUUUAUCAGUCAAACCGCAUAACAACGUACAUUGUUGCCUUUGUCAUCGGUAUGUUACUUGCCCGAGAUUCGAUCGUCGGUAUCAUCAUACCUAGUUCAAUCUUGUUACCGGCAAGUCUCUUUACUCGUUCCGUAAUGCUCAUCCCGUGACUAACUCAUUAGUCACAUUGCUUGCAACGCUCAUAGUGAUGUGCAUUACCGAGAGGGCCCAGAUAUACAUCUCCGAUACACAGAGUGACAAAUGCUAAUCUCUAUCUAUGCCAACUCAACAAACACCAUCGGAGACACCUGUAGAGCAUCUUUAUAAUCACCCAGUUACGUUGUGACGUUUGAUAGGACACAAGGUGUUCCUCCGGUAUUCGGGACUUGCAUAAUCUCAUAGUCUGAGGACCAUGUAUAAGUCAUGAAAAAAUAAUAGCAAUAAACUAAAUGAUCAUACUGCUAAGCUAACGGAUAGGUCUUGUCCAUCACAUCUAAAUGGUUUUUUCUUUUCUUGAUUAAUACUCCCUCCGUCCCAUAAUAUAAGACAUUUUUUGACAUUACACUAGAGUCAAAAAACGUCUUACAUUAUAGGACAGAGGGAGUAGUAUUUGUUUUUGGAUGCUUGCAGGUGUUGGAAGAGAACUACUAGGUUGUUGUCCAAGUCACUUCUCACAAAUGUGUGACGCCUGCCCCCACGUGUGAGCCAGCGCAGCCGAAGGCGGCGCACUAACAACGAAACCUAACAAAUUAACUGGCCACACGUGCCAGCCGGUUCCCACGGGUGCGAUGCAUGCCCCCACUUGCAAGCCAGAGGGCGGCCCUACGGACGAGCCGGCAUAGGUGUACAUGAUGCACGCACUAUCUGUUGCGACCGGACCAGCUCGGCGCAUUGCCAGCGGAUGCCAACGGCAAAAUUUCGUGUUUUGACCCUUUUCUGAAACCUAUUAAAGAUCUGACCCUAGGCAGCAGAAGACAUCCUUCAAAUUGAUCACAAUCUUCUUACCCCAACUGAGACCGAGGCUUUCAAGAUGAUUGAGUUAUCCCGUAUACAAAACAAGUAUGUCACACGUGAAAAUAUUUUGUUGAAGGAGCAUAUCAUCGCACUCAAGGGCAUUAUCCGCAAGUUGGAGGACCUCCUACGCUCGAUGUGCGACUAUCCAUCAUCAACAACUCCACCUUCUUCAUAAACAAAGAAGAACUGAGUAUCUGGUAUGGGCACUCCACUUGGCAACUGCCAAGCUUGGGGGAGUGCCCCGGUAUCGUAUCACCAUCACUUCUAUCUUUACCGUUUUCCUUAGUUCGAUCCUUUUGAUAAUAUUUUGAUCUAGUAGAAUAAAACUUCUUAGUAUGAUCUAGUUGUGAGUUUUGCUUUAUGAUCCUUCUAUGUAAUCGAGUCCGUGAGCUAUAUAUAAUAAAGAUUAGUGUUGAGUCAAGGACUUGAUUAUUUUGCCAUAAUCUUGAGUGAAUAAAAGAAAAGAGAAGAAAUAAAAAGAAACAAAGAGAUCAUAUGGAUCUUAUGGAGAGUAAUGAGCUCACAUAGAAAGAGUAUGAUGAAUAAAAGUUGUUGAGAGUUGACAAACAUAGUUUUGGUCAUCGUUGCAAUUAAUAGGAAGUAAUAAAGAAAGAGAGGUCUUCACAUAUAAAUACACUAUCUUGGACAUCUUUUAUGAUUGUGAGCACUCAUUAAAAUAUGACAUGCUAAAGAGUUGACGUUGGACAAGGAAGACAAUGUAAUGGGUUAUGUUUUCUUACAUCUGAGAUAAAUUAUAUUGUCAUGGAUCAUCCAACAUGAUUGAGCUUGCUUUUCCCCCUCAUGCUAGCCAAAUUCUUUGCACCAAGUAGAGAUACUACUUGUGCUUCCAAACACCCCUAAACCAAUUUUUCCAUGAGUGUCCACCAUACCUACCUAUGGAUUGAGUAAGAUCCCUCAAGUAAGUUGUCAUCAGUGCAAGUAAUAAAAAUUGCCCUCUAAAUAUGUAUGACUUAUUAGUGUGGGAGAAAAUAAGCUUUAUAUGAUCGUAUGAUAUGGAAUAAAUAAAAGCGGCGGACUGCAUAAUAAAGGUCCAUAUCACAAGUGGCAAUAUAAAGUGACGUUCUUUCGCAUUAAGAUUUUGUGCAUCCAACCAUAAAAAUGCAUGACAACCUCUACAUCCCUCUGUGAAGGGCCUAUCUUUUUCUUUUAUCUCCUACCUUGCAUAAGAGUCAUGGUGAUCUUCACCCUUCCUUUGUACAUUUUAUCUUUUGGCAAGCACAACAUGUUGGAAAGAUCCUGGUAUAUCUGGCUAAUUGGAUGUGAAUUUUCAUGAACUAUUAUUGUUGACAUUACCCUUGAGGUAAAACGUUGGGAGGCAAAACUAUAAGCCCCUAUCUUUCUCUGUGUCCGAUUAAAACUCCAUACCCAUAAGUAUUGCGUGAGUGUUAGCAAUUGUGGAAGACUAUAUGAUAGUUGAGUAUGUGUACUUGCUGAAAAGCUCUUAUAUUGACUCUUUCCUAUGUUAUGAUAAAUUGCAAUUGCUCCAAUGACUGAGAUUAUAGUUUGUUAGUUUUCAAUGAAGUUUGUGAUUCAUACUUGAAAUUGUGAUUGAAUUGUUACUCUAGCAUAAGAGAUCAUAUGACAAGAAUUAUAUAAGUUGUUGUUUUAAGAAUGAUCAUAAUGCCCUCAUGUACGUAUUUUAUUUUUAUCGACACCUCUAUCUCUAAACAUGUGGACAUAUUUUUCGAUUUCGGCUUUCGCUUGAGGACAAGCGAGGUCUAAGCUUGGGGGAGUUGAUAUGUCCAUUUUGCAUCAUGCUUUUAUAUCCAUAUUUAUUGCAUUAUGGGCUGUUAUUACACAUUAUGUCACAAUACUUAUGCCUAUUCUCUCUUAUUUUACAUGGUUUACAUAAAGAGGGAGAAUGUCGGCAGCUGGGAUUCUGGGCUGGAAAAGGAGCAAAUAUUAGAGACCUAUAGUACACAGCUCCAAAAGUCCUGAAACUUCACGGAAGUCAUUUUUAGAAUAUAUAAAAAAUAUUGAGCGCAAGAAGUUCCAGAGGGGGCCCACACCCUGGCCACGAGGGUGGGGGCCAGCCCUACCCCCCUGGGUGCGCCCCCUGCCUCGUGGGCCACCUGGUGGCCCUCCGAUGCCCAUCUUCUGCUAUAUGGAGUCCUUCGAUGAGAAAAAAAUGAUAAGCAAGCUUUCGGGAUGAGACUCCGCCACCACUAGGCGGAACCUUGGCGGAACCAAUCUAGGGCUCUGGCGUAGCUAUUCUGCCGGGGAAACUUCCCUCUGGGAGGGGGAAAUCAUCGCCAUCGUCAUCACCAAUGAUCUUCUCAUUGGGAGGGGGUCAAUCUCUAAGUCUGGGAUUGGUACCCGUGGGUUGCUAGUAGUGUUGAUUACUCCUUGUAGUUUAUGCUAGUUGGUUUAUUUGGUGGAAGAUCAUAUGUUCAGAUCCUAUAUGCAUAUUAAUAUCCCUCUGGUUAUGAACAUGAAUAUGCUUUGUGAGUAGUUACGUUUGUUCCUGAGGACAUAGGAGAAGUCCUGCUAUUAGUAGUCAUGUGAAUUUGGUAUUCGUUCGAUAUUUUGAUGAGAUGUAUGUUAUCUCUCCUCUAGUGGUGUUAUCACUACAAAAAAAGACACAUCCGUGACAUUUUGGGCCGAACGAUAUUUUUUCUGUCAUACAUAUGACACUUCUAUGACGAUAAUUGUGACAAAACCCGGUAUCAUCAUAGAUGUGAUGGGAUCCUACGUCUAUGACAAAAAAUCAUGACAGAAAAUGGGCUUUUCGUCCGGGGCGGGCCAGAGACGCAGCUGCAUGACAUUCUUUGGGCCAUCCAUGAUGGAAAAAACCGUGGUAGAAGCGAGGGGGAGGAAAAUUUCGGGGAGUUCCCGGUUACGGUGGGAGGUCGGGGGCCGAGCGAUGCGCGUUUCUCUCGUACACGUACGCACGUGUGUGCGAGGCGUUGGCUCUAACUGAACCCGAGCGAUUGCACUGCAGGCUACGCAUUAUUGAACCCGAGCGAUCGAUCGAUGGAUGUUAACUGAACCCGAUCGAGCGAUUCCUUCGCUACUGCUGCUAAUUNNNNNNNNNNNNNNNNNNNNNNNNNNNNNNNNNNNNNNNNNNNNNNNNNNNNNNNNNNNNNNNNNNNNNNNNNNNNNNNNNNNNNNNNNNNNNNNNNNNNNNNNNNNNNNNNNNNNNNNNNNNNNNNNNNNNNNNNNNNNNNNNNNNNNNNNNNNNNNNNNNNNNNNNNNNNNNNNNNNNNNNNNNNNNNNNNNNNNNNNNNNNNNNNNNNNNNNNNNNNNNNNNNNNNNNNNNNNNNNNNNNNNNNNNNNNNNNNNNNNNNNNNNNNNNNNNNNNNNNNNNNNNNNNNNNNNNNNNNNNNNNNNNNNNNNNNNNNNNNNNNNNNNNNNNNNNNNNNNNNNNNNNNNNNNNNNNNNNNNNNNNNNNNNNNNNNNNNNNNNNNNNNNNNNNNNNNNNNNNNNNNNNNNNNNNNNNNNNNNNNNNNNNNNNNNNNNNNNNNNNNNNNNNNNNNNNNNNNNNNNNNNNNNNNNNNNNNNNNNNNNNNNNNNNNNNNNNNNNNNNNNNNNNNNNNNNNNNNNNNNNNNNNNNNNNNNNNNNNNNNNNNNNNNNNNNNNNNNNNNNNNNNNNNNNNNNNNNNNNNNNNNNNNNNNNNNNNNNNNNNNNNNNNNNNNNNNGUGGAGGGGUGCCCGUGGAGGGGUGGUUGAACUGGACCCCGUGGUGUGGAGGGCUGGAUGAACAGUAGACGGUGGAGGGGUGGUUGAACAGUAGCCGGUGGAGUAACGCGCGGUGGAGGCUGGAUGAACAGGAGCCCGUGGAGGCUGGAGGAGGUCGACGGUGGAGAUGAACAGUAUCCCGUGGAGUCCCGUUUUGCGGUACGCCACACCCCUCCCAGUAAACAGGACCCCCGUUUCGACCGUAGCGCUCCAACACAAGUCAGUUUCCUCCAUUUUGCGGUACGCCACACCCCUCCCGAUCAACAGGACCCCCGUUUCAACCGUAGGAGGUCCGUUUCCUCCGUUUUGCGGUACGCCACACCCCUCCCGAUGAACAUGAUCCCGUUUCGAACAUGGCCAGUCGAACACAAGGCCGUUUCCUCCAUUCUGCGGUACGCCAGGCCUCGUUUCCAUCGCCUAUUCCGUCCAAGCCCUCCCGAUGAACACAACGCAUUCCGUUGCCUCCCCAUGAACACGACGCAUUUUGUUGCCUCCCCAUGAACACGACACAUUUCGUUGCCUCCCCAUGAACACGACGACGACGCUGUUUCUCAGUUCCGACCCAGCCUUGUACAUGAGCCCUCGUCGUACGUAUGCGCGAGUAGGCAUUCGAGACCCCGCCCGUAUGUACACAUACGUGGCCGUAUUUUCUUUCUUGCACCCUGACCGCUGUACAUACGUGUACAUGCUACGUGCGCGCCUCUACUACGACACAUGCGCGCCUCGACAUCGACCAGUAUAUAUGUACGUACACGUUCGCGACCAGAAUGACAACGCUACGUACGCUUCGACCAGGUAGGUCCCGACUGCCAGGCACUUCCUUGCAUGCGAAGAUGUAGCUGGUGGGUCCCAGCAGUCAAGGCACUACUAGGGACAAGCCUAUACACAGAAUCUUACCAGCAGCGCGCUUUAAAAUCAGGCGCUGCUGCUAAGUAGCAGUAGCGCAGGUUUUUAACCCUCGCUACUACUAAGUUGAUAGCAGUAGCGCUGGUUUUUUAGCCUCGCUACUACUAAGCGGUCACUACCGUGCCCCUCGGGACAUGCCAUAGUAGUAGCGCGGGUUUUUAACCCUCGCUACUCCUAAGUUGAUAGCAAUAGCGUUGGUUUUUACCCCUCGCUACUACUAAGCUGUCUCUACCGUGCCCCUGGGCCAUGCCAUAGUAGUAGCGAGGGUUAUAAAACCGUGCUACUACUAAGUUUUUACCCCUCACUACUACUAAGAGGUCUCAACCGUGCCCCUCCGGGACAUGCCAUAGUAGUAGCGAGGGGUAAAAUCCCUCGCUACUACUAAAGGUGCCAUUUUGAAACUCUACCCCCCUGGAUCGCCUUUUGGGUUUUGUAAAAAGCAAAAGAAAAUGAUAAAAACUUCAAAAAUUAAAAUCCUUCUAGAUUUAGUUAUGUUACUACAUCUACUAGUUAGGAAAAUUUAAAAACUUAAAUUUGGACAUGUUUUGCAAAAAGUGUCGGGAAAAUGUAAAACGGCUAUAACUUUUGCAUACGAUGUUAGAAAAAAACGUAUAAUAUAUCAAAAUGUUUCAAAAAUUAAAAUCCUUUGAGAUGUAGUUAUGUUACUACAUCUACUAGUUAGGAAAAUUUAAAAACUUAAAUUUGGACAUGUUUUGCAAAAAGUGUAGGGGAAAUGUAAAACGGCUAUAACUUUUGCAUACAAUGUCAGAAAAAAACGUAUAAUAUAUCAAAAUGUUUAGCACGAAAAUCUGCAUACGAUGUAGACAGCUACGGCCUAUUUGCAAAUUUUUAGAAUCCUCAAAUUCUAAAAGGAAAAAAAAUUAUGCUCAAAUUUCAGUUUUUUUAAUUUUGGUCAAAUCUGGUCAAACUGUGGUCAAACUAAUUCAAGAAGUAUUAGUGUUACUAAAUAAUUAUUUCAGUUUUUGGAAUUUUGGUCAAAUCUGGUCAAACUGUGGUCAAACUUUGGUCAAAAUGUGGUCAAACUCCUUAUUCAAGAAAUAUUAGUGUUACUAAAUAAUUAUUGUUUUUUAGAACAAUUGUUUUAAACUCAAACAGCAAAAUGUGUGACUUCAUGCUCAAGCUAAACUCCCGAGGGUUAAUAGGAUUGACAUCUUACUAUUGUCAGGAAAGCAACAAGUGCAGACCUGGAAUCGAGGGAGAAUAGAACCCGGAAGUUAAGCGUGCUCAGGCUGGAGUGGUGAGAGGAUGGGUGACCGUCCGGGAAGUUAGAUGAUUUGGAAUGAUGAGGGGUGAUUAGAGAUAAAAUUGAGCAGCGAUGAGGGUGAUUAGAUAUUAGAGGUUAAAAUAAUUCAGAAAUUUGAAAAUUCGCGCAAAAAAUUCGAAAAAAAAUUCUGCGGGUUAGUAGUAGCAUGGGUUUUUAACCACACUACUACUAACGGACGUAGUAGUAGCGCGGGUGGCACCCGCGCUGCUGCUAUACGUUAGCUGUAGCGCCUUAUUAGUAGCGCCGGCCCACGCGCUGCUAAUAGGCCCAAAACCCGCGCUGCUGCUAGGCUCUUCCCUAGUAGUGAGGAGGGGAAUUGUUUUAUUUUGUUUUGCCCGGACGCACUUCCUUCCGUCCGAAGGUGUAGCUAGUGGGUCCCAGCAGUCAGGGGGGAAACGUUUUUUUCGUGAAAUACGGUGGCCCGUCUGGUGGUCCCCGCUGUUAGGUGGAGGAAUAAUUAUUUUGCACAUAAUAAGGAGGCACUUCCUUGCUGCGGCCGUGGACCCAGGUGUCAGCCACUCCACGUACAGUCCACGUCCGAUGGAAGUCGUUCCUUGACCACGUUGACCACGCUGCACCGAGAGCACCAGGGCAGUGGACGACGGCGAGGCCUAGGAAGGGGACGACGAGGAGCUAGGGAAGACGCGGCAGUGGAAGCCUGUGCGGAGAGGAGUACGAGGGUUCACUGGUUCGGCUACGGUGUGAGGCUGCCGUCACCGCAGGGCCUGGCCAGCGGUGGGAAUAGUAGGGGGCGGUGAGGCGUCCGCAGCAGCACAGCCGACCAUGGGAGGCAGGAGCAUGCGGCACGACCGGCGCAACUUUGGGCGGCUGGAGCAAGAAGACCAGAGGUUGAAGAAGCACUACGGCUGUUGGAUGGACAUCGUACAGUCACUGGAGCUAGAAUCGUUCAUAUUGAUUAAAGUUGACAAAGGCCCCCGUCCCAGUCAACUUAGUAGGCCCACAAGUCAGCCUCCCACCAUGGUGGGUCCCAGCUAGCAGGGGGGUAUUCAUUUUUUUGUGCGUAAUAAGGAGGCACUUCCGGUGGGUCCGAGCUGAUAGCGGGGGGGACGUUUUUUUCGCGAAAUACGCUGGCCCGUACGGUGGGUCUGAGCAGUCAGGGGGGAAACGUUUUUUCGCAAAAUAAGGUGGCCCGUCCGGUCAGUCCCUGUUGUAAGGUGGAGGAAUAAUUAUUUUGCGCGUAAUAAGAAGGCACUUCCUUGCGGCUGCAUGGACCCAGCUGUCAGCCUCUCCACGUACAGUACUCUUCCGAUGGAAGUCGGUCGUUAACCACGUUGACCACGCCGCGCCGAGAGCACUAGGGCGGUGGUCUGGACGAUGGCGAGGCCUAGGAAGGGGACGACGCGGAGCCGGGGAAGACGCAGCAGCGGAAGCCCGCGCGGAGAGGAGUACGAGGGUUCACUGGUUCGGCUGCGGUGUGAGGCUGCCGUCGCCGCAGAAUAACAGGGGGUGUGCGUGAGUGGAGGGAUGGCCUGGCCAGCGGUGGGGGUUGUAUGGGGGCGGUGAGGCCUCCGCGGCAGCACAGCCGGCCACGGGAGGCAGGAGCAGGUGGCACGACCGGCACUGCUUUAGGCGGCUGGACCAAGAAGACCAGAGGUUGAAGAAGCACUAAGGCCGUUGGAUGGACAUCGUACGGUCAUUGAAGCUAGAAACGUUUAUUAUUGACUAAGUUGACAAAGCCCUUGGUACGCUCCAACUUAGUAGGCCCACAGGUCAGCCUCCGAAACAGUGUGCCCCAGAUGUCAAGGAGAGGAAUCAUUUUUUGGGCGGCCGAAGCUAAGAAUAUCCGAGAUUGAAGAAGAAGCACGACAUCCGUUGGAUAGACAUCCAACGUCCACUGCUGCUAGAACCGUGUGUUGACUAUAAUAAGUUGGCAAAGCCUUGCAUACGCGUCAACUUAUUUUUUUAGGGGACACGUCACUUAGUAGGCCCACAAGUGUGUGGCAGAGAACUUAUAGCCCAUUUGCGUUUUUGUAAGAAUGUACAGCCCAUUUUGGAAUUCUAAUGGAAUUUACAACAGCCCAUUUACAGUUUGUUAAAAGUACAGCCCAUUUUCUAGCUAGGAAAAUGAUUAAUAAUUUCAACCAACCGUUGAAGACCGAAUUCAACAAAAUUUCCCACAUUUUGAUGGGCUCCAAAAUAUUUUUAUCCUGAAAUUUUUAGUCAGAUUAAAUAUAAAUUUGUAUUAGGUAAAAAUCCAAUGAAACAUUGCGCGCGCAACAAUGAAAAUUUAAGAUUUUCAAAAUCCAUAAAUAAUAUUUUAUAAACUAAUUUCGUGUUUGGUGCAUUUUUUAUAGUUACUGCCUAGUUUUUAUAAUUACAUCCCAUUUAUUAUUUUUUAAAGCCCAUUUUCCUGUUAAGCCUAAUGUAUCCCUCCUAGGAAAGAUUUGCAGCCCAGCGGGGUGGAGAAUAACAAGUUCACUUUGCCUCGGUAUUCCUCAAAAAGACGUAUAGCUGGGCUAGCCAUUUUCAUCUUGAAAAAAUUAGUAUCUGGGCUGGAUGUCUGGCCUGGGCUAGACGGGCCACAACCCGCCUAGUUAAUACCCUGCUCUCCUCUGAAAAACAACGAAAUCAUCGCCAAGAAAAACUCUGCAGUGCUCACGCUUCAAAAAGACAAAUACUGCUUGAGCUGCUUGGUCCCAGCUGUCGGCCGCACCUUGUGCAAUUCUCUCGUUUAUAUUGACUACAUAGGUUGACAAUGGUGUGGGACCGUGAUGUCAGGAAACCAGGAGAAAGCAAAAAACAUAUAGUUGUACAUAAUAAGGAGGCACUUGCGUACGUACGGCUAUGGCCCUAGUGGGUCCCUAGUGUCAUCCAGUCAAAAUAAAGUCAUCUCCUGAAUCCUCAUGUUCGUUGACGAUGUUAACAAUGCUCGGCGCCACGGCGAGCGCAACAACUCGAAGGACAACGGAGAGGGCCUCGCGGGCCCUACGGAUGGUCUGAUACAGCGCCCGCUACUCAUUCAGGAAGCCAGGAUCAUCGGACACCUAUGAGCACCUUCGAGAAACUGAGACGGCAUGAAACGGUAAGGCCGCGCUUGGGAGCUCUGGUUUAUUUCAAACCUGUAUUAACAUACAAGUGUAAUUUACUCAUCAUCGAAAACAACGCGUAAAAUAUAGGCGUAAUGAAACCGAGGGCCCGAGGUCCAUAAGUAAAACCGGCGGGUUACGCGUGUAAUUUGAGAGACCAGUGUAUUUUAUGAGCACUGCUAUAUGGACGACAUUACCAGACGAGUGUCACCUCCAGAAGGACCAACUCUACGACCUCGCCAACUCCAGCACGUACGCACCUAUCCCCUGCGGCUCCCCUGCCUGCACGGAGCUCGGUAGCAGCCACAGCAGUGGUUGCUCCGCCGGCUCCGACCAAUGCAAGUAUAUCCUCGACUACGGCGACGACAGGGUCACCGCCGGGACAUACAUCAGCGACACGCUGAACUUGUCGCCCACCAUCGCGGUCAAGGGCUUCCGGAUCGGGUGCAGCCACGCCGUGAGGGGCACCUUCAGUGACCAGACCGCCGGCGUCCUGGCCCUCGGCGGCGGCGCCGGGUCCCUCCUUGCACAGACCGCGGAGACCUUCGGCAACGCCUUCUCCUACUGUGUCCCGCACCCGAGCUCCGAUGGAUUCCUCUCGCUGGGCGGGCCGGUGGGGAAAUCGUCGCAGUUCGCGAGCACGCCUCUGAUCAAGAACCAACACGC